UAGUCUAGGCUGAUUAAUGUAACAUGACUACGCCUAGCAUCCACUGCUUCCUCCAAGUUUGUAUAAUCAUCAGCUCAAGUACUCCAAAAAUAAGAAAUAAGUUGGACAGUGUCUUGAUCAUUUAGGUCAUUGCAAGGACCAAUGCAAUUAUGUCAGGAUCAUAAAUCUUGAACUGGAAGUAACCUCAUAGGAUAUUUCAUCCAACUCUUUCAUGAAGAAACUAAGGAUCAGUCAGAUUCAAUUACUUUGCCCAAGGUCAUAGGAGGAGCACAUAUCCAAGAAACCAGCAAUAUCUAAACAAGAUGUUUAUAAGAAAUUCUAAGGGAAAUGGGAAGGUCCUACUGAAAGGCUGUUGUUAUUAGAAAGUACAAUCUGAAGCUAGAGAUGAAGAGCCCUCUCCUUCUACUGUGCUGCAGACGCUUUAUAGGAAUACUAGCAAUGGAGCAGUGUGUGUGAAAACAGAAGACAGAAUGGCCAGAACCAGGGCAUAGCAAAUUGGAAUCGGAACUGGACAGAAGGAACAGAAAAAAAUUCUCAAGAAAAAGGUCACUGAAGAUGUGCAAGUCCUCUUUCGGCGGAUAAAGCUGCUCUCGUUCAGAUAAAGUUUCUGAUCGAAGCAAGAAAGUUCCAGUAAAUCCGGCAGACCGGUGGGCACCAGGUGGGCACCCCGCUUCCCAAAGCGAAAGCGCGCGGCUCCUCGAGGCUGAGAGUAACGCAUGCACUGGAUCACUUUAUAGGAAGAAGAAGGAAAAAAAAAAGGCAGGCAGCAUGGACUCUUACCUCCACAAACUGCAACCUUUCAGUAUUUUCCUGGGACAUCAGGGUACUCCUCCCGUUCUAAAGCGCUGCGUGUUCUGAACCAGGGCGACCAAAGAGCAGAGUCUCUAAAGCCAAAUCCGCUUGCUACCCCUUGGCCCUGCGUCUGUCCCCGAAGCAUCUGGGAGUCAGUCCUUCCCGACUAGGCACCUCCCGGGCUCAAGCUAACUGGGCAGCCAGCAAACAGGAAAGAAGAAGGCGAGGAACGCCCUGCCCAGCUCAGCCCCCGCCGACACGCCCCGCCCGCAGACUGCCGUCUGCAGCUGCUCUGGGUGGGAGUGGGGGGAAGAGGGAGAGGGCGGACACACAACAGAGGGGAAGUUUCAUGUGAGCGUGUGUGUGUAUGUUUUCUCUGCCGGGCAUCGCAUCCUUUCCUCCUCUCGCCCCCUGCCCUGCAGGAAACAGGACAGGAAAUAUGCAGAAUUCUGCCUCCCAUCUCCCCAUCUCCCCACCUCCCAGGCGAACUGAGGAGCCGCCAGAAACCCAAAGUCAUCUCUAGCCCUUCUUCAAGUCAAGGGCAUUCCAAGAGUCGGAGCCAGACGGAGUAGACCCUACUCACUCUAUCCAUCUCCAAGGAAUUUCAGGCAGUCAUCAGUGGUCUAUCAAGACCUGGAAAUUCUAACCACCAUCUCUUUGCGUAAAGCUUUCUUUUUCUUGCUGGUUAAGAUGGGGAAGUUAAUCUAGGCAGAGGUGGGGAGCACUCAGCCACAGAGACUGAAUGCUCAUUUCUAGACAUUGGUCUCGCCCGACCCCGGGAACUCCGACAUCCUGGGCUGAAACAGAAGAAAUGGGAUUUCCCACUAGGAAAACCGAGGAAGUGGCCAGAAUUCAAGAGGAUUCGUGGAUGUGGUUUUGAGGGCUAGAAAAAUAUCCAUCACUGCCGAUGUUUCCAUCUUUCAAAGCCCAGGAAUGAUUCCUUAAGGUUAAAAUGCAUAUUGGGGGGAAAAGCUUAAAAUCUGCACAUUCCUAAAUCUUAAAUCUAAAAAGGCAGCGGAGUUGAUAGUUCUCUUUUAAGUCUGUCCACAUAUGUAUUUGCUUGUGGGUUAGAACCGUUUGGGUUUUGCCUUUGUAUCUUGCCAGAUGCUUAAUAACUGAUAAAUUGAACUGAAUUAGAUUAACCCUUUACAUAGGCUACUUACAAUUUCUUUUGCUCUUAUGAAAAGUACCAUAUUUUUCAUUGGAGCCAAAAUCUAGCUUUGGUUCCUUAAAUUUUUCAAUAGGAUUUUAAGAAAAAUUAGAAUAGUUUAAAUCAUCUCAAGAGUUGGGAGAUUACUAAAAUGCUUUUCUUUUAAAGGAAUUUAACUAAAUAGCACGAAUGAAAUCUAUUUUGACCAGCAAAAAAUAACCACCAUUCACUUUAACUCUUGAUAAAGAUUAGUUUAUUUGGUUAUAUCAAGUUUUCAAUUUUAUAAUCAGGUUUUCCAUGUAUAAUAUUUUUUAGCUCAGCCUAUUCUUUGGAAUAUUAACACUAGAAACCUCCUUUCUGGAAGAAUUGGGUACAGAUAGCCCAAUUCUUAUUGUAUGCGAUUUUAUAGGCUGAGAAUUCUUUCUGAACUGUACUUCCAUUAAGCAAAUUGUACUUUGGUUAAGAAACUUUUAAAAAGUGAUAAAUAACAUUACUCAUUUAUUAAAGGGUAGAAGUAAAAGAGAUUAGCAACAGGGUCUUGUCAGCAUUGGGUACUUAAUUCUGUUCUUAGGGGGAUGACAUAUUUGGCAAAGUUUUGCAAAACCAGUAUCCAUGCUCUACUGUUACUCCAAAGUACCUGAGACCUCUUUUCUUCCUCUCUCCUUUUUUUCAGUGAUAGUAUGUGAAAACAAUGAGUUCAAUUUUCAUCUCUCUACAGAUGUCUCAGAAAUUCAAAUACCCAGUUACUCUCUAUUUCUCCCCUGAGCCCCAGUCCCCCAUCAUCAACUGCCUUUAUUGCCAUAUAUCUUCAUUUAGACAUCCUCAAACUCAACAUGUACAAAACGGAAACCAUUAUACCUUCCCCUUUCCUAAUUUCCCAUUUCAAUUAAGGGAUCACUCUCCUGGUUACCCAGAUUCACCUCAACAUCAUCUUCAGUUCUUCCUCCUUCACUUCUUUCUCUAUAUCCAGUGAGUUGCCAAAUCUUGUACUUGUAUUCAUUCACACCCAUUCCCUUCUUUCCAUUCACAUGGCCAUUGCCCCAGUUUGUUCCCUCAUAUUUUUGCCUAAAUUAUCACAGUAGGCUUAAUUGAUAUCUCAUUUUAAAGUUCCUAACAAUCUUGUUUGAUUCUCCUUUUCCAGACUCUACAUUAUUCUCCCUCACUUUCUACCUGCUUUCCAGACAAGCAAGCCUUUGUGCUGUUUCCUGAUAUAUAUUCCAUAAUAAAAAAAUUCUAUUUCCUACUGAUGUAUCUUUUGCAAAGGUUAUUGUUACCACUUAACCCCAGAUAUUUCUGACACUGCUGUCUCACUAUUCUGUCCCAUCCCUGCAUGUGUGAAGUUGAUUUUUUUUUAAUCCAAGUAUAACACCAGAUGUCAUUUUUUAAAGAUUCAGCCCAAUCCUUUAGUAGCCUAAGAUUUUUCUGGUCUUAUUGUCUACUAUUAGCUACUCCUUAGUACUUCUACAUCUUUAUCCCAGACACUGAUAAGCAAAGGCCAUGGGCUAUCAAUGAGUAUCGAUGUUCACCGGGGGGAAAUGGGAGCAAAGAGAUGCUUUGGAAUAGGAAUUGGAUAGAUUGGAUUGGCUAGAUACAAAUAGGCCUUGACAUGAUGAAAGUCAUGUCUUGGCAAGAUUGGUGGAUGGGCAAGAUGGAUUUAGGGUCACUUUAAUAUAUACUCAUUCACAGAGAGCAAGUUGUUUUUUAAAGAGUUCAUUAUAAGAAUAGCUCUCUUUUUAAAUGAUUAAAAUCGAGUUUGAAAGCAUCCUUAAUGUUUGUAGCAAGCAUCUGAUUGUCUAGGAGGAAAAGGGUGACCAUAUUUUAUACUUUCUCAUGCUUUAAAAAAAGAGAAGAGAAUAUCAAGUUAGGAAAAAUCUCUUUUUAUUAUGAUGAUUUAUUAAUAUAUAUUAUAUAUCAAUCAUUUAAUUUAACCCUGAAAAGAUCUUUACUUACACAAAGUAGAAAGUUUUGUCUUGACAAUAAGUGGCUCAAGAAGUGCCAUUAUAAUAAAGCUAAGGAUACAGGUCUGUGUCUUAAUGCUCCUAAGAGGUAAGUCAUGAAAGCACUAAAUAAUAAAUAUACCAAUUAUGAAAAGCACCGAGACAGCAUUUUAGGUGGGAGUCAGGGUCCAAUAGUUCAUACUUCAACAUAAGCCUCCCAAGAGCAAGACCUGAAUGAUGCCCCCAAGAGAGUUCAAAGUUACAAAAAAAACAGAGUUUGGGACAAGAAAUAGUGGAAAUAGGUCCACUUAAAAAUGCAAAACAAGAAAUACCUAAAGUUGUGAAAUAUACUUUGUUUCAAAAGAUAAUAAUGCCUCCAGAAUAGUGUCUAUAUGCAAUUUCCCCUCCUUUUCCAGUUCCCUUCACUUUGUAGUUGCGUUAUUGGUACCCCACUCAUAUUUUGCUGCUGUCGUAUGAAAGUAAACAUAAUGCCUGAAUCACAUUAAUUUGUUGUGAAUGAUCUUAACCCUUAAAGCUUGAACCAUUGCCUAGUAUCUACAACCUGUGAAACAGCUUACUAUUCAAAAGUAAGAAGGAACAGGGUGGAAGCAUUUGUCAUUACAAAAACCAAAACGUGACAAAUGAGAUUUUUCUUUGUGUUGUGUAUAAAAGCAUCCUUUGCAUCUUUGGAGGUCUAAAAACCAUAGGGAUACCUAGGAACAAACUUAAGCGUUUGAAUGAGGGAGUUCACUCAUCAGUGAACUGUCAGCAAAUGGUACCUAGAACAAAGUUCUCUAGAGGCAGCACUUCUGUUGGUACUCUACAGAUAUUAAAUACCUAAAGCUGAUACACAGGAGCUGACACUUGUGUAAAGAGAGUGGCCGGCUGGCCUAGCAGGAGGUAAUUUCUGAGUGUGAGGCUAGAAAUCCCUUGAAAUCUCCACAGCAGGAUCCUGGAAUGGUAGCCAGCAGUGAUACACAGACUGAUCCCACACAUCUCAGAAGCCCCUUAGAGAGACUCAAGCAUAAACUUGGGAUUCCUCUUGGGCUGGCUAAAUAUAAAUACUUAGUCACUGAAGGUGGGUUCUCAGAGUACGGGUACUGAUCAUCCUGUAAAAUGUGUGUACACAUACUACGAAGUCCCAGUUAAAAAUUAUCCUCACCCUCCUACUCCAGCUCCUUGGCCAGUCUGUACAGGGGGGGGUCCUAUCCUGACCUUAGGCACAUGGCCUAAGUUAUGCCAUUUUAUACUAUAUUGUAUAUUUGUAAAACUGGAGCUAUUUUCAUUAGUGGCAGCAUUUUUUGGUCUCAGGAUCUAUUUCUCACAGUAAUAUUUUUCUAAACAGAGCAGUAAUAACAAGAAGCAGGCUUUUUUGCAUGUUGUUAAGUAAAUCAGGGCAAACAGAAGUAAAAAAUAUUGCUGGAAUAUGGUAGAAUGACUUGCUAGUAGUGCACCAGAAUUGUUCAUUGCUGAAAAGGAAGAAAGGAUGGAGAUAUGGGUGUGUAGGGGGGUGUGUGUAUGUUCUAACUUUCUUCUUUUUAUACUCUGAGAAAAAAGACAAUCAACUUUCCAGGUUCCUGAUGGCUAGUUCAGGGUUCUCUACAGCAGACUUAAUGUAUCCCCAGGGCAGCUAAUUUCCAAAUUUGGAAUCAUCCCUUUACACAUGUCUAAACAGCUUCUUAAUUCAAUUUCAAAAUCCAAUGCAUUUUAAAAGUAAAAUGACAUAGGUGCAUUCUUUAAAUGCCAGUCAUGAAUUCACCACUAGAAAAUAGAAAUUACUGCAUCAAGUCCCUACAUAAAUAAUCCAAAUAAAAUGCUAAAAAGGAUACUUGAUCUGGCCUCUGAAAGAGACAUAGCCUAUGACUGCUUCCAAAAUCCCCUCAGAGGAGGUGUUUAAUAUGGCAUCCAGUUUACCUUGUGCUUCACUGGUGCCAUAGUUCUAGCACUGCACUGCAGACAUGGCAUAUUUCAGAUACCCCAGAUAGGUAAACAUUUGACACAAACAUGAAUCCUACUGUGAUUCAAUCCAUUUCAGACACAUUGUCAACAGAACCAUUACGAGGCCAGGUUUAUUCACAUGAACUAAACUCCCUUCUUUCUAAGCGGUUGAAUUAAAGGAUCUAGUUAGACACUCUUAAUUUACAUUGACCCAAGAAGGGUCAACAUAAACAUAACAUGAUUUAAUUUUCAUGACAGAUUUUUUUCUCUAGUUUUUUUCUAUAUUAAUCCUAAAUAACCUUCCUAGGAUAUUCUAUUUAGGAAAAAACAUUAGAAAAUCUGUCCUGUAUUGCAGUGCUCUACCAAAAUUCCUAAGCGGAUAAAAGUUUAUCCCUUAGUUUUCUGUCAUUCAGUCUUUGCAUGAUGAAAGGAUAUGGGUAAAGAAUAUUACAAUUACAAAAUCUUUAACUCUGGGUCAUGAACAAAUUUGGAUAAAAUCGCAAGCCUUCUACUGAAUCAUCUCUGCAAAGAUGGCCCAUCUUUUCAGCAAGAAGCAACCUAAAGACAAAGGUGAAAACAAAAUCAUUUAUACAUUCAUUCAAUCAAUCAAUCCACAAGGAUUUAUUAACUACACACCAUGUGAGGUUCUAGAGAUAUAAAGAGGAAAGGGAAAUAGUCUUAUGCCUCAAGGAGCUUCAAUUUCAUACUGAGAAGAUCCACAGUUAAGAUUAAAGAUACCACACAGCAGGUGGCAAUUGGGCUGCAUCUUGGAAGAAAGCAGGGAGUCUAAAAGGCAGAGGAGAGGAAGAAAUGUAUUCCUGGUAGUGAGGAACACCAGUUCAAAGGCACAGAGAGGGAAAUGGAGUGUCUUUUAUGAGGAAGUCUAAGGUCAGUUUUGGAUGACUGUUAAGACUAUGAAAAAGGAAAUAAAGAAAAGAAGGCUGAAGAGGUAGAGGUUUUAAAGGCUUUAAAUGCUGCAAGAAGGAGCUCAUAUAUGCUCUUAGACAUAACAGAGGGAUCUAGGUGGCUUGGUGCUGGGCCAGGAAUCAGGAAGACCUGAGUUCAAAUCCACUUCAGACACUAGCUAUGUGACCUUUGGCAAAGUGACUUAACUUGUUUGUCUUAUCUGCUAGAAAAGGCAAACCACUCUGGUAUCUUUGCCAAGAAAACCCCCUGGACUACUGUCAUGCUGGUCCACAGGGUCACAAAGAGUCAGACACAUCUGAAUAAAUAACGAGGUAUAUUAGGAAAACUACUGGAGGUUACUGAAGAGGAAUACUGGCUGGAGUACAAUCAGCUGGAAGUGCCCUUUACGAACAUCUCUGACAAUUGUGUGGAGGAUGGAGGAGACGAGUGAGAGAUUCAAGGGAGGAAAUGACUGUAGCAGUCUAGGCAAGACAUGAUAAGGGGGGCGACUGCAGAUGGAGACAAAGGGACAGACACAAGAGAUGCUAAAAGGCCAGAUCUGGCAGCCGAAUGGAUACAUGAAGUGAGAACCAGUUGAAAAAUUAAAAGCAUGAACAGGAGUGACUAAAAAAAUGGUGGCACCCAUGGCAGUAAUGAGUACAUUUUGGAUAGUUUGAGUUGGAGAUACUUAUGGAGCAUUCAGUUCACAAGGUCCAAUGGUAGAGGUGAGAGUUCAGGAGAGAGACCAGAGCAGGAUAUAUAGAUCUGGGAGUUAUCUGCAAAGCUCCCAUAACUAAAUCCAUGGAAGUUAAUGAGAUCACUAAGUGAGAGAGGUAUAUAGAGAGAAAAGAAGGUGGCCUAGGACAAAGCCUAUGGAUGUGCACGGCUACAGGGUAUGAUAUGAAUGAUGAUCCAGCAAGAAGGAGUCAAUCUGGCAAGAAAAGAUCCCAGAGAGAAUAAUGUCAUGAAAACUCAUAGAUGAGAGAAUGUUUAAGGGAAGACGGUGGUCAGCAGUGCCAAAUGCUGUAGAAAAGUCAAGAUAGAUGGAGAUUAAGAAAAAGCUAUCAGAUUUGUCAAUUAAGAGAACACAAUUAAUAAAAAUGAGCAUCAUCACCCCAACCUAAUUUACCUUUCCUUGGCUAAGAGAACAGACAUUCCUACAAGUUUGGCAAAUUCUUCAGAUGUAAGAGAUCCCUUUUCUGAUACCUGUAACAAAGAAAAUCAAAUAAAAUAUGAAUUUAAUUGACAAGGCAUAACCCUUAGUCUUAUGAAUGUGAUCAAAUAAGACAUUUAAAAACAUACAAUAAGUUCUUGAUUGUAUUACACAUAUUCAAAUAAUAUUAGCAGUUGAAUUAAAUUUUCUUUACCAGUGUUUGACUCUAAGUGCCAUGAGGAAAGCAUUAUGUAAACUUUAAAGAGCUAUGCAAACAUGAGGUAAUACUACUACUAAGAUAAAGACUCCAAAUUUCAAAACCUAAUAGCCUAAAUUGUAGUAUAUCUCUAUAAUACAUAUGACAGAAGGUCUGUAGGGUAACAUAAAAGGCUAGACUGAACAUUCUGUAAAGGAAGAGGGUAAAGAAUUUAAUGAAUCAACUUAAGUUAAAAAUGUGCAUUAUAGAAACAUUUGAAAGUCAGAGAGGAGAGAGUGGAAAGAGACUAGGGCGAUCAUCUAGUACAGCCUUCCCUUUUAACAAUGAGAUUACUAUAACAAAGAGAAGUUCAGUGCUUUUCUCAGAGGUCCCAUGGUUAAUAAGUAAAUUGUGCAAGUUCAAUGAAGGCAAUAAUAUGUCAAGACCUGAAAUGAGCUACAUCAACAGAGAAAUCUGCUAAACUGCUCUGACCUAGGUUUAUGGAAUAUUAUGUACACAGUAAGCAACAAUCAUUUAUGCUGAAACUGAACUGAAGCAAAUUGUUUGACACAGUUGCCUGGCAAUCAGUAGUGAUGUCUGUGUGUGCCCACUAUUGACAGAGCUCAGUUAUGUAAUGCUUUGAUUGAAAAAACAAAACAGCCAAAGCUAACAAGCCUCAAAGAAAAUACCUUGUAUAACAUUAGUUUAUUCAUCCUCCUUAUUUCUGAGUAAAAUGGGAUCGAUAAAUUGAGGUGCCAGAGAAGCACUUAAUUAUGGGUUUGAUAGAGGAAAUCCCUAGACUGGGAACAUCCUACCCCAACACAGAUUGAAACCCAUCAAUGACUAAGUAAUAAAAUCAUCUCUCAGAAAGCAAUUAUCAAGUGUCUAUGAUGUGCCAUGUAUUGGAAAGUCAAAUACAAAUGUGAGAGAGUCUCUGUCACAGCAAUGGGCCACAUGUUAAUAGAUAAAUAAAAAUAUAGGAUAGGCACUGACUUUUGGGGGUGGGGAGAGAGAAGAGAGGUGAUCAACUGUAGGAAUUUUAAAAAGCUUCAAAAAGCAGGUGGCACUUGACCUGGCAGAGGUGGGGAAACAAGGAAUUCGAGGCCUGAGGGACAGAGAGGCAGUAUUGAGCUCCUGGCAGUACAAAGGUCAGGGACUUGACUCAAGUCGCACAGCUCAGAGGUGAGAUACAACACAGGCCUAUGAGACUUCAUGUCAUGUGGUGUUACCCACCAUUCCAAGCUACCUUACUCAUUAAGAUCAGUUUUAAAACAUUAGAACAUGUAUAUCUAAAAAUAACUUCUUAAUAUGGCAAACUUCAAGUUCUUCAAAUUUUACAUCUAAUGUGUUUAAAUCUUCUUUGAAAACAAACUGUUAAAGGGCAUACUGUCUCUAAAGCUGAGGCAAGCAUUUCCUCCUCAUUGUGGGACUGAAGUUCAAUGACCAUUACACCGCUGUCAAAAAUCCGGAGCCUGAAACGGAAAAAUGAGAGUAAGAGAAUUAAUUAUUAGGGCAAGAAACUUCAGCAACUAAAAAACUCUGGGAUUUUUUAAUAUUCAUGUAUAGGAGUGAUAUCACAGCAGAAAUAAUAUUCAAAACAUAACACUCCAAGGAAUUGGGAGCAAAGUUUUGACCAGUGAAGUACAGAUUACUUCGCGAUAUUUUCUCUUAAUAUAUAGUCCCAGUGGAAGAAAAGACUUCAGAUAAUCCCAGAUCAUACAGACAAACCCUGAACAGUCCCAUUUGAGGGGAGCAGAUCAUUUUACCCUUAUAUCUUACCUCACUGCCAAAUUCUUCCUGCCAAAGGGUCUGUUCAUCUCCCCAUUUCCCACUCCCACCGCCCCACCCCCAGAGUUCUAAUAGACAGAAGCAGGAAUGAUGGUAAGACGUGAGAGCAUUGAUGUAUAUCUGUUUCUAUCAACCUCCACUAAAAUCUAUUAUCAUGUCUAAUAUGGAGGUGACCCUGAGUCACUAAAGACUGUGCCAGGUACUGAAAGCUCUGGUAGAGCUUACAUACUCAAGCAAGAAAGGCUUCAACUAAUUUAUAUCCUUGAGUUCAUAUAUUAAAAAAUUAGGGAGGGCAGAAGUCAAUGAAUUGUACAUGCAAAUUAAAAAACCUAGAAAGAGAACAAAUUUAAAAAUCCCCAGAUGAAAACUAAAUUAGAGAUCCUAAAAAUUAAAGGAGAAAUUAAUCAAAUCAAAAGUGAAAGAACUAUUGAAUUAAUAAACAAGACUAGAAACUGAUACUUCGAGAAAACAAAUAAAAUAGACAAAGUCCUGGUCAAUCUAAUUUAAAAAAGGAAAGAAGAAAACCAAAUUAACAGUAUCAAAGAUGAAAAGGGAGACCUCACCUCUAAUGAAGAGGAAAUUAAGGCAAUCAUUAAAAACUAUUUUGCCCAAUUAUACAGCAAUAAAUAUGGCAAUCUAGGUGAUAUGGAUGAAUAUUUACAAAAAUAUACAUUGCCUAGAUUAAUAGAAGAAGACAUAGAAUAAAUAACCCCAUAUCAGAAAACAAAAUUGAAAAAGCCAUCAAAGAACUCCCUAAGAAAAAAUCCCCAGGGCCUGAUGGAUUCACUAGUGAAUUCUAUCAAACAUUCAAAGAACAACUAAUCCAAAUACUAUACAAAGUCUUUGACAUAAUUAGCAAAGAAGGAGUUCUACAAAAUUCCUUUUAUGACACAAAUAUGGUACUGAUUCCAAAGCCAGGCAGAUCAAAAACAGAGAAAGAAAACUAUAGACCAAUCUUCUUAAUGAACAUAGAUACAAAAAUCUUAAAUAGAAUACUAGCAAAAAGACUCCAGCAAGUGAUCACGAGGGUUAUUCAUUAUGAUCAGGUGGGGUUAUACCAGGAAUGCAAGGAUGGUUCAAUAUUAGGAAAACCAUCCACAUAAUUGACCAUAUCAACAAGCAAACCAACAAAAAUCACAUGAUUAUCUAAAUAGAUGCAGAAAAAACCUUUGACAAAAUAUAACACUCAUUCCUAUCGAAAACAUUAGAAAGUAUAGGAAUAGAAGGGCCUUUCCUAAAAAUAAUAAAAAGUAUUUAUCUAAAACCAUUAGCCAACAUCAUCUGCAAUGGAGAUAAACUAGAUGCAUUCCCAAUAAGAUCAGGAGUGAAACAAGGAUGCCCAUUAUCACUGCUAUUAUUUACCAUUGUACUAGAAACACUAGCUGUAGCAAUUAGAGCAGAAAAAGAAAUUGAAGGUAUUAAAAUUGGCAAUGAAGAGACCAAGCUAUCACUCUUUGCAGAUGAUAUGAUGGUCUACUUAAAGAAUCCUAGAGAAUCAACUAAAAAUAAUCAACGACUUUAGCAAAGUUGCAGGAGAAAAAAUAAACCCACAUAAAUCAUCAGCAUUUCUAUAUAUCUCCAACACAUCUCAGCAGCAAGAAUUAGAAAGAGACGUCCCAUUUAAAAAUCACCCUAGAUAAUAUAAAAUACUUAAGUUAUCUAUCUGCUGAGACAAACACAGGAACUAUAUGAACACAACUACAAAACACUCUCCACACAAUUAAAACUAGAUCUAAAUAAUUGGAAAAACAUUAAUUGCUCAAGGGUAGGAUGAGCUAACAUAAUAAAAAUGACAAUUCUACUCAAACUUAUUUACGUAUUUAGUGUCAUACCCAUUGAAUUACCAAAAGCUUUUUUACUGAAUUAGGAAAAAAACAUAACAAAGUUCAUUUGGAACAUUAAAAGAUCAAGGAUAUCCAGGGAAAUCAUGAAAAAAAAUGCAAAGGCAGGGGCCCUAGCAGUACCAGAUAUCAAACUAUACUAUAAAGCAGUGGUCAUCAAAACAACAUGGUACUGGCUAAGAGACAGAAAGGAGGAUCGGUGGAAUAGACUUGAGAUAAGUGACCUCAGUAAGACAGUCUAUGAUAAACACAAAGAUCCCAGCUUUUGGGACAAAAAUCCACUAUUUGACAAAACUGCUGGGAAAAUUGGAAGGCAGUAUGGGAGAGAUUGGGUUUGGAUCAACAUCUCACACCCUACACCAAGAUAAACUCAGAAUGGGUGAAUUACUUGAAUAUAAAGAAGGAAACAAUAAGUAAAUUAGGUGAGCACAGAAUAGUAUACUUGUCAGAUCUUUGGGAAAGGAAAGAUUUUAAGACCAAGCAAGAGUUAGAAAAAAUUACAAAAUUUAAAAUAAGUAAUUUUGAUUUCAUUACAUUAAAUAGUUUUUGUACAAACAAAACAAAUGCAACCAAAAUUAGGAGGGAAGCAACAAAUUGGGAAACAAUCUUCAUUACAAAAACCUCUGACAAAGGUCUAAUUACUCAAAUUUAUAAAGAGCUAAAUCAAUUGUACAAAAAAAUCAAGCCAUUCCCCCAACUGAAAAAUAGACAAGGGACAUGAAUAGUCAACUUUCAGGUAAAGAAAUCAAAACUAUUAAUAAGCACAUGAAAAAGUAUUCUAAAUCUCUUAUAAUCAGAGAAAUGCAAAUCAAAUCAAAGUAUCACCUCCUACCUAGCAGAUUGGCUAACAUGACAGCAAAGAAAAGUAAUGAAUGCUGGAGGGGAUGUGGCAAAAUUGGGACAUUAAUGCACUGCUGGUGGAGUUGUGAAAUGAUCCAACCAUUCUGGAGGGCAAUCUGGAACUAUGCCUAAAGGGUGCUAAAAGAGUGUCUGCCCUUUGAUCCAGCUAUAGUACUGCUGGGUUUGUACCCCAAAGGGACAAUAAGGAAAAAGACUUGUACGAGAAUAUUCAUAGCUGUGCUCUUUGUGGUGGCAAAAAAUUGAAAAAUGAGGGGAUGCCCUUCACUUGGGGAAUGGCUGAACAAAUUGUGGUAUAUGUUGGUGAUGGAAUACUAUUGUGCUAAAAGGAAUAAUAAAGUGAAGGAAUUCCAUGGAGACUGGAACAACCUCCAGGAAUUGAUGCAGAAUAAAAGGAGCAGAACCAAGAGAACGUUGUACACAGAGACUGACACACUGUGGUACAAUCGAAAGUAAUGGCCUUCUCUACUAGUAGCAAUGCAACAAUUCAGAAGGACUUAUGAGAAAGAACACUAUCCAUAUCCAGAGGAAAAACUGUGGGAGUAGAAACACAGAAGAAAAACAACUGCUUGAUUACAUGGGUCCAGGGGGAUAUGAUUGGCGAUGUAGACUCCAAAUGAUCAUCCUAGUGGAUCCAUCAAUAAUAUGGAAAUAGGUUUUGAUCAAAGACACAUGUAAAACCCAGUGGAAUUGCGUGUUAGCUACAGGAAGGGCUGGGGGGAGGAGAGGGAAAGAACAUGAUUCUUGUAACCAUGGAAAAAUAUUCUAAAUCAUCUAAUUAAAGUUUAAAAAAAUUAAAAAGAAAAUACAAAAAGAAAGGUUUCAACUAUGAACCUUGCAACAAAUGGUACUUGUAUGCCUGUAUCUAAGGAUCAAUUUUACUAAGAUUAGAUGCUCAGCAUAAGAAGUUAUCUAAGUAAUGAGCAUCCACAGCAGCAAUAGCAAUUUAUGAAGGCCUCUACAAAGGCACAGAGAAAUUACAACCCAAUUUGGUUGGUGCAAUAUAACACCAAUAAAAUCAGAGAUUCUUGUAUACUUGCCAUGUAUCAUGUACUCACAAUUCUUAAGAGAGAUUCAUGGGGUAGCCUUGAACUGAUAUUUAGUAUGAUUUUAACACAGAAAGUAAGGGUUUAAAAAAAAAAAGAAGAUAGUUAAAGACUACACAUCACUGAUGACUUAACAAGAAGAAUCUGGGAAAGCAAGAGUAGGAUUUGAAGGUUAACAAAGUUAAAAGAGAAGCUACUGACACUGAGAUUUAGUCAACAAACAUUUUAUAAGUGUCUUCAGCAUGGAGAGCAUGAUUCAGGGCCUUUACUAUGUAUAUUUCUAAUGAUAACACUCUUCAAUGGACGCACUACUGUAAUUCAAUCUGCAAGGAAUUAUAAUUCAAAUUAAAUAUACAUCUUAAAAAAUUCCCUUACCUGAGAGGUAAUUUCAGUGCUUCCAACAUCUUACAUGCAUUUACUAAGUCCUCUGGUGAGAGCAGCUAUUAAAAAAAAAUGAUCUUGUUGGUUUUAUAAAUGAAUAGAUAUGAUGUUAUUUAAACAAACACAAAAGACUACAAAGAGAGAAACUUGUAACUCAAAAGCACAUUUAUUCAAAAUUUAGGUGAUAAGACCUAACUACUUAAAGGGCAAUAUGAAUCUCAAAAGAAAUGAAUGGACUACUUCCUCUUUCAUGACUAGGUCCUUUGUCAGCCAUAAAGUGAAGCUGUGAAUCCAACUAAACUAAUCCCAUCCCCAUUCUCUCCAGGAAUAGAGGGAGGGAGCCUAUGUGUUCCUGGGCAUGCGUCCAUGUGGUUUCCUCUGUGUCAAAUUCUAGGGAUAAUUCCUUUAAGACACAGUUCAAGGAGAGGCAUCUAGUAGCUCUGUGGAUAGGGAGUCAGGCAUAGAAAUUGAAGGUCCUCAAUUCAAAUCUGGUCUCAGAUACUUCCUUCCUGUGUGACCCUGGGCAAGUCACUAAACCCCCAUUGCCAUGCUCUUAAUGCUCUUCUACCUUGGAUAGAUACACAGUAUUGAUUCUAAGACAGAAGGUAAACGCUUUUAAAGGAAAAAAAAAAAGAUGCAGCUCAAGGGCCACCUUUUAUAGGACACCUUUUAUGAUCCUCUCAGCUGCCAGUACUCUCCCUUCCAAACUACCUAGUACUUAACCACUUUGUAAUUGUUCCAUGGGGAUUAUUUUAUUCAUUAUAUUCAUAUCCUCUGUACCUAGAAUGGGGCCUAACAUUUGGUAGAAAUUACUAAAUGUUUACUAUCUGAUUAAAGAGAGCAUUUAGUAAGGCAUGUAAAGUUGGACCUUCAACUUUCCUAUUAUAUGUUAAAUGAUAGGAGGUUUAAAAAAAAGUCAAGACAUUUAUAAAGUGCUCAACAAUAAACUUAUACUCAUACAUAUACACAAGAUUAUAGAAGCAAAAUUCCUUUAGAGCACAUGAAAACUGUUCUAUUUUAAAUGGAAUUCUGUUAAACAGUUACAACACUAAAUCAUAACAUUCAGUCCAAUUUCUUCAUUUCUUAGAUUGAAAAAAGCAGAGAAAGCACAUUUUUAAACUGCAAGAAUGAGAGAAGAAGUAAAGAUGAUGUCCACCCAACAGUACUUUAAACCAGGAGGAAAAAGGUGGAGAUAUCAUAACAACAACAAGAAAUGUGUAUUAAAUGCCUACUAUAUGCCAGGAACUGACUGUUGGGUAAUGAAGACAUAAGUACCAGGAAUAAAACAAACCUAAUCACAAGGAGCACACAUUCUACUGGAAGAGACAAGGCCAACUAUAGAUAUAAAUAUAGCUUAAAUAUAAAGUGAAUAAAUAAAAAUAAAUAUAAAGUAGUUAAAUACAAGACCAUUAGGGAAAGAAAACACUAGCAGUUAAUGAGUUAAAGACAGGCUUUAUGUAGAAUAUGGUAUUUGAGUAGCAUCUUUUAGAGUAAAAGAGGGAGUCUUUCUACACAGGACAAUUAAUUCAAAGGAACAGAUAUGGGAGAUGGAGUAUUGUGUGUGAAGAACAGCUAGAGGGGAAGUUUGGCUACAUUAUUGAGUACAGGAAGGAAGUACUGUCCAGUAAGGCUAGAAAGACAGGCAGUGAAGGCUAAAUAGAGUUUAUAUUUUAUUCUUAAGGCAAUAGGAAGCUGUGGAGAUGAAUGAAGAAGGGAAUCAGAUGCUCAUAUUUCUGCUCAAGGCAAAAUUAUUUUGGCAGCAACAUGGAGGGUGUAUUGAAGUGGUGAGAGACUUGAAACAAGGAAGUCAUUUAGAAGGCUAAGAACCUGAGUGGAGAGAAAUGGGGUAAGAUGAGAGAAAUUGUGAAGGUAGAAUUGGCAAGAUUUGGUAACUGAAUGAAUAUGUAAGGGGUGGGAAAUUGAGGAGUUGAGGAUAAUGCCAAGGUUACAAAUCUGGGAGACUAGCAGGAUAGCUGUACCUUCAAGAGAAACAGGGAAGGGUUUUGGGGAAAAUAGAAUGAGUUCAGUUUUGUACAUUUCCAGGACUUUAGCUAUCUUGAGAACAUCCAGCCAUUCAACCCUUUCCUUGUCUUAGUUCCUUUUGUAUUGGUAUGUGGCAGCUUUGUUUAGGUGACUGAAUUUUUUGAAAUGGAAAUAGAUGGGAAAUAUGGGAAGUCAUGUAGAAUGGGGAGACUUGAAAUGUAAUUGUCACUGUACAACAGGUCAAAUGAAGUUUUCCUCUUUUCAUUACUACUUACUCUUACCAUACACUUAAGGUCUUUGGUAUAACAAGGAACCAGAAGGCACUCUUUACACAACAUUAUCUAAUCACAUAAUUUGAUAUAACUAAGUUAAUAAAAGAUUGAUCCUCUAGGCAACUCCUCAAAUUAGGAAGAAACCUUUCUUUAGAAAUAGAAUCUAUCUUUGAAUAAUAUUCAUCAUAAGAGGAUUUUCUCUGUAUUACAUCAAUAGCAUCUAGACAUAGAAGGAUGUCAGAACUGAAUCCUUACUUCCAUUCCUCGAGCUCGGUUCACCAAACAGUACACUUCCGUGAGUGACAUUAUUCCUCCUCGUUCCUAUUUAAAUAUGAAAUAAGUAAAUUUAAUAUAAAAUAGGGUUAGUAGCAAAGAUUCCCCUUAAUUUGCAUAGCAGUAUUAAAGAUGCAUAAGAAAAUAUGAAGACUAGAGUUAUUUAAAAAGUAAAACCUAUUGAUUACGAUGAGAUCAAUUCCAUAUUCAUAUUUCAAAACUUCUUUUUCAAGUUCAAAGACAGUGUUGGGAUUUUCUUGGCAAAGGUACUGAAAUUGGUUUGCCAUUUCCUUCUUUAGCUCAGCUGAUAGAUGAAGCAACCAAGGCAAAAAAGGUUAAGUGAUUUGCUCAGGGUCACCCAGCUAGUAUGUAAGACUAGAUUUUAAGUCAUGAAGAUGAAUCUUCCUAAUUCCAAGCCCCCUGCUCUAUUCAUUGUGCCACCCAGCUGCCACAUGAUAGCAGAAAAUAAAUAUAAAAAAGUAGAAAACUGUUAGCAAUUUCAUACAAACAAAAUAAUGGCAUAUCAUCUGAGGGUAAAUAAAAAUAAGAGAAGGGGCACUCCUAUCAAGGUUACUGUUAAACACUACCAAAAAUAAGGGGUUUUAAGUCUCCAUUUACCUCUAAAGGCACCUGCAGUAUUCCUGCUAGUUGUUUUGCCAGCUGCAUAUGGUAAUGUGUGCCUGAGCCAUGUGUUUCCCUGGUAACUGGAUUAGCUAUACCCAUGCUCAGUAAGUAGGAUUUAAACCUGAUAGUCUAAAUGGGAAAGAGAAAAAAAACACACACACACACAUAAAUGACAUGGCAGUUAAAAUUUGUUUUCUUUUAAAAUUAAAAUUUUUACUAAACAUCAGUUAAAUGUUUAAUUAAGCACUUCUCUAUUCACUCUCCCCAUCUCCCUCCCCUCCUAACUUCCAGAAUCUUGGAAUGUGAAGGGGCCGAAGGAGCUGUCUAGUCUAGUUAGUACAUGAAUAAGGAAUCCCUUUUCUAAGAUUCAGCCAUCUAACCUCAAUAUGAAGAACUUCAGUGAGGAGAACUCACUAUCUUCCACGGCAGUCCAUUCUUUUGGCAGUUAGUUCUUUCAGUUUUGUCUUACUCUUGGUGAAUGAGGCAUUGGAGAUUUUCUUGGCAAAGAUACUGGAGUGGUUUACCAUUUCCUUCUCCAGCUCAUUUUACAGAUGGGGAAACUGAGACAAACAAGGUGAAGUGACUUGCCCAGGGUCACAGAGCUUUAUAAGUAUAUGAAGCCAGAUUUGAACUCAGGAAGAUGAAUGUUCCUGACACCAGACCCAGCACUCUAUCCACUGUACCACCUAGCUGUGCCAGUUCUAAUCAUUAGGAAUUUUCUUCCUUAAGCUGAAGGAAGAGUAAAUCUGCCUUUCUACAAAUUCUUCCACUGCAUUUAUUAUCUAUCAUUAUUUGAAAUAGGAAAAGGAUUUCCAUUAAAAUUGUGGAUAAAUUUAAUAAUUUAUUUCUUUCUUUCCUUUACCUUGUCAUCUUAUUCCUUCCUCACCUUACUAGCCUGGCAAUUAAGAACAUUAAGGCAACAACAAAACUAUAUUUAAUACCAAUCACAAGGUUAUCAUUAGAAUAAAUGUCCUUAAAAACUUCACCUUCAAAUAAUUUUUGGCUAAAAAUUGACUUUCAAAACAGUUGUAGAAAGCAAUCAUCUUUUAAUUUUUUUAUGAUAUUUCUACCACACUGAUAUCUGUAUUCCAAGAAAAAAAAAACUUAAAAAAAAAUCAACCUGUUACCUGUUACAGCUAACACAAUGACUUUAGAUUCGACAUUUGGGACUUUUGAAGUAUUUUCAUUCUAUUUCAAGGCCCACAAACAGAAACCCCAUGUUAAAAGGCAGACCAUCAAAACAUUUCGUUAUACAAUUUAAACAGAUAUUUAUAUUUUUUGGCUUUUAAUUUAAAAAAAUACAAAACUAUUACUUACUUCAUCUUCUGUGAUGUCACCUUGUUUAUCCUUAAUUUUAUUAGCUAUAGAUUUGGAUAAUUCAACCAUUUCCUUUGCCUGUCAGAAAAAAAAUAGUAACCAUAUUUUCUAUUUACAAAAUAUGCUUAAAAGCAACAUAAUUGUUAUGAAUAUAACAAAUAUAAAUUAAUAUACCUUGACCAUGAGUUUGCUGAGAUCUUCAAAAGCCUGAAACAAAAAACAAUGAAGUUUUAAUGGAGUGGAUCUAAAAGGAUUCAAAGGAAUUAAACAAUGAAAUAAUGUUCCUUUGAUAUUUUCAUUACAAUAUAAAUUGGGUAUGAAAAGAAGCUUUCUCUAAGAAAUAUGUGAAACUUUCUAUUAAUUUGAGGAAUCUGAAAAAUCACCAUUAACACAAAUAUGCUAAAUUCAAUUAGUAAUAUUUUUCAAAACUUCCUCCUUUAGAAGGGAAGAAUUAUGAUCAAACAAAAGAUAGAGAAUAUCAUAAGAUGUAAAAUAAAUAAUUUUGAUUAUAUUAAAUUAAAAAGGGUUUGUACAAACAAAACUAAUCUAACCAAGAUUAGAAGGAAAACAACAAACUGAGAAAAAAUUUUUAUAACAAAUGUCUCUGAUAAAGGCCUAAUUUCUCAAAUUUAUAAAGAACUAAGUCAAAUUUAUAAGAAUAAAAGCCAUUACCCAAUUGAUAAAUGGUCAAAAGGAUAUAAACAAGCAAUUUUUAGAUGAAGAAAUCAAAGCCAUCAAUAAUCAUAUGAAAAAAUGUUCUGUAUCACUCUUGAUUAGAGAAAUGCAAAUUAAAACAACACUGAAGUACCACCUUACACCUAUCAGAUUGGCCAAUAUAGCAAUAAAAUAAAAUGGUAAAUAUUGGAAGGGAUGUGGCAAAUUGGGGCACUAAUGCAUCAUUGGUGGAGUUGUGAACUAAUUCAACCAUUCUGGAGGGGAAUUUGGAACUAUACCCAAAGGGCUAUAAAACUGUGCAUACCCCUUGAUAAUGCCACUACUGGAUCUAUAUACCAAAGAGAUAAUGAAAAACAGAAAAGGACCUACUUGUAUGAAAACAUUUAUAGCAGCUCUUUUUGUGGUGGCAAAGAAGUGGAAAUUGAGGGGAUGUUCAUUAAAUGGGGAAUGGCUGAACAAAUUGUGGUACAUAUUGGUAAUGGAAUACUAUUAUGCUAUGAGAAAUGAUAAGCAAGAUGAUUUCAGAAAAGUUGGAUAGAUCUGAGGGAACUGAUGCAGAAUGAAAUAAGCAGAACUGGGAGAACAUUGUACACAAAAGCAGCAAUAUUGGGCAAUGAUUAUAUGUAAAAACUUGGUUACUCUCAGUAAUGCAAUGAUCUGGGACAAUCCUGAAAGACUUGACAGGGAAUGCUAUCCACCACCAGAGAAAGAAUUGUUGGAGUCGUCUUUCACAAUUGUAUAUCUUUGGUUUUAUUUUGUGGUUUUGGCUACGUAUAAGAGUGUUCUUACAACAAUAAUCAAUAUGGAAGUAUGUUUUGCAUUACAAUUAAAAAACGGAAAAAAUUUUCCUCUUUUUUUAUGUUCAGAUGGUCAUAUCAAACACACACAUAAUGACAAAAUAGUAUUACUAGAUCUAUACAGCUAAAACCUGUUUUAAUUAUUUAUUCAGCUUUUAAUGUUACAUUUCAACAUACUUCAAUGGACCCAUCAAUAUUCCUUCCAACACACCCAUCAUGACUCAUACAUCACAUUACUUAAUUUUAAAUGUUGAACAUCAAUUACCCCAGACUUGCCCAGGACCACACAGCUAGCAUCUAAGGCUGGAUUUGAAUUCUGGGCCCUGACUCUGGGCCCAGCAUUUUUUCCAUUGCCCUAUCUACAUAUUUUUACAUGGGAGGCACUGGGGUAUGGUAAGCACCAAAUAAUAUUUCAAAAAAUAAAAGCUUACCAUAUUCUAACAGGAAAUGUCUAGUUAUUGAUGUGGUAAUCAUUUCUGAAUCAGUUGUCUAUACAAACUAUGGACAUGUUACAGCAAAAAUUAAAAUCAAUGCUAAAUUAGGAGGGAAAAAGAUAUGACGCACAAUUUGGGCAACUUCAACCUGACCUACUUAAAUAAGUUUUUGAUGCCAAAAAAUGGAUAGAAAGCAGAUAUUAAUAUAGAUAUGAUCAUUCCUAAGGAAGUUUAACACAUAAAUCAAUCACCAUAAGGAGGAGACCAAAAAAAGCCUUGAAACCUCCUCUGGUAGCAAACACUUGAUCUUCUUGCCAAGCAAAAAAUAAGGCAGCCAAGGGCAAUACCAAUUUAGAAUAUAAACUCAUUUGUGCUAUCUGAUAGAGAAAGAUGAUAGAAGAUUAUGAGAAGUACUACCUUGCAAAAACAGUAAAAAGCAAUAGAGAAAAAACCAAGACUAUAGAAAUCUUGAAAAGAAUUCCCAAAGGGUAAAACUUGGGGGUAUUUAAGUAUGACAUUAGAAGAGGGAAAGCAAUAAAUGAGAAGUUGAAACAAUUUCUAAAGAUCAGAACAAACCUUUUCUUCGAUCAAUGACAGUGAAGAUACCAUAAAUGUACUCUAAAAUCAUAAUGCCUGACGUACUGCAUGAGAGAGGAGAAAGGACACUAAAGAAAACAGAGAUGGGAUGAGACCAAGUUUAGCAAAGUAAAUCUGUAAUACUGUUAUUCUAGGAUGAUGAGGCUAGCCCUAACAAGGAUCUCAAAGGCCCUUUCACAGAGGAGGAAACUGAAAUCCUGGGAGAUUAAGUUACUUGCCCAAGAUCACCCAGGUAAAAAGUAAGUUCUGAACCGAGGCUCUCUGACUCCAGAGUCUCUUCCCACUAUGCCACCAAUCUGGAGGGCUAUGAAGGACAAAUUCUCAGGAUAUCUGAAGGAAGAAUGUACCAAACACCUGGAAAAAUCACAGAUAUCACUGAUACCACAAAUAGGAAAAUCAAGAAACUAUCACCAACCAAUAACAACUAACCCUUCUCUCUCCUAUAAAACUUUUAUGAAAAGAAUCCAUACUUUCAUUGAAGGCCUCCUUGUGGAGAAGGAAACAAUGAGAUUUUCAUAAUUGCUAUUCAAGAGUAAACACAUCACUGAUUCGAAGACGUGGAAAAUACUAGAUAUUCCCAUAGUCACUCUUUGAUAGCUCUAAAAAAAUUAUAUUUGGUGGACCAAAACAUUACCUUUCUUUAAACCUCUCUACCAACAGGUUACAUCCCAUUCAAUUUUCAAAAUCAUAUGAGAUUGUUUGAAAGAUAAAUCUUUAUUCAGUGAUCUUGUAAUUAUUAAUAACAAUGAAGAAUACAACAGGAAGAUGGAUGUGUGCUCAAAGUGUUUGCCACUGCUAUGGACAAUCUUCAGUGUAAAGUUCAAAUAAAAAGAUGGUAAGGUUUUUUAAUAUGUUUCCGACAUUUCUAUUGACUAAAGGAAGCAUGCUUUAGAAAUUACAGAUCCUAUUAUAAAAGACCCAUAAUCACUCAAAAUAAUUGGGGCUAAUCAUCUAUGUAAGGGAAAAAAGUGGAAAAAGAAUUACUUAUCUAGAGCAUGGAAUGUAUUUGGAUGUUGAAGACCCAUAUUGCUUAGUUCAUCAGUACAUACAUGUAUCUUAGACUUCCAAUCUUAGACUUUGAGAUGGACAAUGAACUGAGCAAUUAAACAUUAAAUUAAUAAAUGGAAGAUCAGGCUGGAUAGAAACAAACAUCUGUCUUUUAAAAAAAUCGAUAUUCUUUCAGUGAGAUUGCAUGGCAAAACUAGUCUCCAAAAUAUUAAAGCUGUGGGUCAGCCAAGUGAAGGGCCAUGAAAAGGCACAUGGCAGAUGUGACUAGGCUACAACCUCUUACCAAGGAUAAAUGGCUUUGAGGAUAUUGCCAGAGAGACAUAAGGAAGGAAAGGAAGUGGGCUGGUCAUAUAUCAAGAACAUAGGAUAAGAGGACAACCAUAUCCCUAGUCAGGAAAUGUCAAGAGCACAAGCAUUUAUUAAGUAGAUGUCUGCAGGCUCUGUAUCAGGAGAGCUGGAAAUGCAUUGAAAGGCAAAAAGUGGCUCCUGUUCUCAAGGGGCUCACAGUAAUUAAUGGGGAGAUAAAUGCAAAUGACUUUAUACAAAUAAGACAUAUAUAGAUACAACAGGUGUAAACAUGAUAUAAAAUGGAGAUCUCAAAAGGAAGCUAAGUUAAAGGGGAGCAGGAAAAGCUUAUAGCAGAAAGUGGGAUUUUAACUGAGACUUGAAAGAAGCCAGGGAAGUGAAGCAAUAAACAGCCUAGGGAACGGCCAGUGAAAAUGCACAACAUUGGGAGAUGGAGUGUGCUGUCUAAGGCUCAGUAGGGGGCUAGUGUCACUGGAUCACAGAGUAUAUGGAAGAGAGUGAGGUGUAAGAAGCCUGGAAAAAGGAGACAGAGGCCAGGUUAUGAAGGCUUUAAAAGCCAUAAACUAUCUAGUGAUCCAGAGAAAGAGCAUUAUUUUGGAAGGAUUUCCCCAGGGAGACUUUACAGGAAGACACUGAUACGAAUCACCCAGAUUGACAAGAAAUGGAUUGGUUGCAGUCUGCACAAAUGGAGGAAGUCCUCAGAGCAAUAAGUCACAGAUUCAUCAAAGUAUCCAAAAAUACUGAAAGUGUACAAUAGUAUAAGAGCACACAGGUUUCACUGAAUCCUGGUGUUUUAAAAAUCAGAAGAAAUCUUCGGAGUCAUCUAAUGCAAUUCUGAUCUAAAGUAGACAACCCUUCUACAAUAUCCUUCAAUAAAUGUGUGGCCCACACAAAUGUUAUUUCUCAUUUAACUAAUCAUCAUGUCUUUAAAAGAAUUGUUUUGAGUAUUUUUUAAUAAGUUAAUUACAGUAAGCUUAUGGCCAUUUCUAUAUAUGCAGAAUAAUGUCCAUCUGCAAAAGGAUUUUGCUAAAUGAAUGGUGUGCUCUGUAAAACUCUUAUGACCACCAAGGGCAGUCCUGGAAACAAAGGGGAAUAUGCACACACCUAACAGGAAUUUCCUCAGAUAAACAAAGGCUAAAAUGUUGGAUUCUUAUCAGCAACCAACAGCAGAUGCAGGAAACCUUUUGUGGGAAACUCUGGGCACCAGCUCCAAAAUUAAGUCAUUUCUAACAUUUAAGGCCUGGGGCAAACUAUAGGCCAUGCUUUUUCUUUGAAUAUACAACCUACACACAAAAAGAUUUCAUACACAUAAGCUUUGGAAAUGCAAAGCACUAAUAGGAUUCUUUCCUUGGCAACAAAGAAAAAGAAAAUGAACAAGAUAAUAUAUUUAUUUUCAAGUUACCUUAUUCAUAUACUAUAUCUUCAGUGGAAAAUGUAAUUUAUAUCUAAACAGGAUUAAAUCCAUAAGGAUAGCAUAAAUAUAAAUGUAAAGCAAUUCUAAUUUACAAACAUUUAAAGUUGGAAGGUCCCUGAGAGAUAAUUUAGUUCAAUACCCCCAUUUUAGAGUUUUGGAAAAUAAGAUCCCAAAGAUGAAAUAACCAGUCCAAGGUCAUACAGUUAGCCUAUGGCAGAGCAGGAACUUGACCAGAGGUCUUUUGACACAGGAUCCAGUUCUCUUUCCACUUAGCCAUUAUAAAUUAAAUAUAGAUUUGAAGUUGCUAUAUUUUAGUAAACACAUAAUUUAUUUAAACUGAUUAUGAAAAUAUAAAUGAAAGUGUCUUCAUUUCUCCCUCCCCCAUUCCUUUAAUAUUUAAAGUCACCUAUCCUGUAAAGUAAAUGAAAGAACUUUACUCACAUUCAACUAAAAGUAAUUUAUAGGGGCAGCUAGGUAGCCCUGUGGAUAGAGUGCCAAGUCUUGAAUCAGGAGGACCUGGGUUCAAAUAUGACCUCAGACACUUCCUGGUUAUGUGACUCUGGGCAAGUCACUUAACUCCAAUUACCUAGCCCUUGCUGUUCUUUGGUCUUAGAAUUGAUACUUUGGCAGAAGGUAAGGGCUUUAAAAAAAGUAUUUACCCACUUGCUAAUGCUGAUUGUUCGUUAUACAUCUGUCAACUUGUAAUCUGGGGGACCCCAAAGGUUGUGUCAAUUUGGCAUCCAGCAACCCCAAGUUUAGUCAGCUUGAUAGCUGGAGACCUCCAAGUUUGCCUUUUUGUCCCAUGAGAGUUUGCCUCUACCGAAUAAUAGACCUUAAGGUAUUGAAUGACCUUAGUUAGAUGGAGUUAGCAGACUUUAAUCAAAUGCUAAAUAUCAAUAUCCUUUUGUCCUAGAAGUUUCUCUUAUUGUAUCAGAGUCCUUUUCCUAGGUGGCCCACCCCUUGUCCAGAUUUUUCCCCUCAGUAUCCAUUGUAAGGUAGGUAGGUGCCCUAGCCUCUGGCUAUGGUUCCUUUCCCAAACUUGAUUGUAUCCUGUCAGUGUAGUCUGAACACUCUCAUUUCUUUGUAACCAUGGUAAUGUCAAUCAAUCAUAUUUCCCUGUCCCUCAGUUUCCCUAAAAGGUAUAUAAAAGUUCCCCAAAUUCUUUUGUUCCUCGGAGCUAUCAUGUCAUGUGGUGAUGUCUCCCAUGGGUCUGUAGCCAGAGUCUUGGGCUCUAUGUAGAUUUUGAGCAUAUAUAUGACUCUGUGUGGAGGCCUGAGGAAAUUGUAUUGCACUACUCUCUGAUUAAAGAGGUAGCUUUUCUGACUAUUUAAUAGUUCUGUGGGAUUUUUUCCAGUUUAACAAUCCAAUAUUCCAGUUUUAAAUUUUUAUUUUUUGCUUUGUCUUUUUUUCAGUGGGUAUGAGGAGAGGUUCAGUCUGUACUUCUGAUUUCAUAGGUUUAGGGCAAUUAUAGUGAAUAAGUUCCUUCUUAGCAAUGUAGGUCUAUAUCUAUUGAAUUUAUAGUCUUGGACUUUUGAAAGGGUGAUUAAGUGACUUGCCCAGCAUCACAAAGUCAGAUGAACAUGAAUUUCAAGUAGCAGGGGUCCUUUCCUCCAGGACACCCUGACUUGGGAUCAGGCCUUCUAGCUCUUCUACAUUUUCACUUUCCUCUGACUACACACCAAUUCCAAGUUUCCCCUGAAAUUCUGCAGAGGGCCAAGUACACAUAGCUGAACAAAGGGAUUGGUUUGAGGGAAGCCCUGGCAAAGCAGAUCCAGCAUAUUGCGUUCAAAUCCUGACUUUGUGUUAUCUGUGGCACCAUAGGCAAGUCACUUAACAUCCUCUUUGUAACUCAGAGAACUCCUGAGAUGUCCCCUAUAUGAAGUUAUAUGCAGGGUACUUCCUUGGUGGAAAGAGUAAACCCUGAGAAACAACAGAUAAUCAAGCACCUCCUUCUGCUCAAACAAGGCACCAUUUCUCCAGGAGUUAGAGUGAGUCAACUCCCAAUGACCUCAGAUCCAUGCUAACUAGCCAAGGUAGCACAGUAUAAUGAGAUGAAUGCUAAAAUAAGACCUAAAAGGCCUAAGACCUGGUCUCAAAUUUACCAUAUUAUCGGCAUGACUCUAGGCAAGUGAAUUCAUCCUUUUACAUCCUUGAUUUCUUUAACUAUAAUUAGGUGGAUCAUAAGACCUGCUCCACCCUCCUUCUAGGGUUAAUAUGAGAACUGAAUGAGAAUAUGUACCUAAAAGCAUUCUGUAAAUUGUAUGCUACAGAUAAAUGAGGUAUUCUCACCUUUAUUAUUAUUAUUAUUAUUAUUAAUUUUAGGAUCAUGUUCCCUAGGACAUCUUCUUUUUCAAAAGAUACUGUCCUAGAUGGAUAGCUAUAAUGCCCUAGAAAUAGUAUCCAUCUAAGAAUUUCUGAGGGACCAAGGUCUUCAUAUAGUAGAUAUUCCUUGGUAGUAGAAUUAGAAUUCUACUUGGUAGUAGAAUAGUAGAAUUCCUUGGUAAGAGAUAUUAUCUCUUUCACAGUGUUUGAAUCCCUAAUACCUAGUACAGUGCCUGGAAGAGAGGGAAUUUAACACUUCAUCUAUUCAAAAAGACUAUAAAUAAAUCUUGGAAAUAGGGAAUUUUACAAGAAUAUCUUAGUGAAUCUGUGCUACAAGCAAUGAUGUGAUUAUAAAAUUUAGCUGCUGUUAGGGGGCUGAAGAAAAUCUGUUUGAAAGUGGCUUGCUUGCCAAGGGGCCUACUGAUCCCAACAUAAAGAAUAUGCUAAUUAAAAAGCAUCUUUCUUUUAACUUUCAGAUUUGAAUAUCUCUGUAUCAGAGCUACAGAGUUCCUCUGUGCCUGGAAUGUCUUUUCCCACAUCUCUGCCAGUUGUAAUUCUACCCAUUUUUCAAGGCCCAAUUCAAAUGCCAGUUAGCCUUACAUGGUCCUCCCUAAAUUAGAAUUCCUCCCUCCUACAAAUUUUCAUGGUACCUACACCUCUCAUUCUCUUUCACAUUCUACUUUGUAUCAUAUUUAUUUGCAUUUUGUCUAAAUGUUGGUAUACUGCCUAUUUUGUAGUUUUAUCUAAAUCUCCCUAUUAGACAAUAAGAUCCCUCCAGGUUUAUGUUACUACUCUUACAUUGACUGUGGAACCGAAAGAAGAAUGCUAGAGCAGAAGUCAGGAAGAUUUCAAAAUCCACCUCCAAAAUUGGCUGUCACCAUGGACAAAUCACAACCUCUCAGUCAGUUUCCCCAUCUGUAAAUACCUGUAAUACCUACCUCACAAGACUAUUAUGAGGAUAAAAAGAAAUAAUACAUGUAAUGUGCUUUGCAAACACUAAAGUGCUAUAUAUGAACAUCAGUGAUUGUAUUUUAUCUACCUUCCCCAAGUUCUAUAAUAUUGGACUUGUUCAAUAAAUACAUAUUGCAAUGAACUAAUUGCCAACUUAAGUCACAAAAAGUUAAUCAGUGGAAUCAAUAUGAAUAAAUCAAAAGAAUUAAUACUUGGAACCUUCUACUCAAAAGCAUAUCCCUAACCAAUUAAGCUAAAACUUCAAAAGAAGUAGAUAUAUCUUCCUUUAAUUUCUUUCUGAAAAAAAGUGUUUGAUUAAAAUCACACCUGUGAUUUAUGCACCCACAUACAUAGCAGUUUAUAGAAUAAAAUGAGUCACAGCAGUAUCUAAAAACAACAAUAAUUGCAAAUAGGCUCAAAGGAAAAGGCGACCUGAAAACAGAGCAAUAAUUACCUCAGAAAUGUUUUUGUCUGUUUCUUUUCUCUUUUCUUCUAGCUUCCUUUCAAUUCCUACAAUUCCUACAGCUCUUACUCUUCCUGGCUGAAAAACAAACACACACAGGAUUCAGGAAGGAAAUUUCAGACCUUUUUUACCCACCACACAGUGUUUCCAGUAGAGGAAAAGGGUCUACAAAGAACUCAAGUAAAACCAUGAAUGAGGCUGUCAAGAGAGUAUACUCUUUUAUCCAACUUCCUUUCAAACAUCCCUUUAUCAGAUGGGUAACUAGCUACAUUCUCUGAAUAUUCAGAGAAAAAAAUAAACAUAAACAAAAGUACCUAUUUACCCCAAUAUUUUUAGGUAUGUUAUCAAAGCUUCCAACUUUCCCCCCAUGUUUCUGUUUCUUGUAAUUCUUAUGAUGAGUGUAGAAUAGAAAUAAAAAUGCUAAAAUGGAAGUCAGGAAGCCUUCAAAAUCCACCUCCAAAAUUGACUGUCACCAUGAACAAAUCACAACCUCUGAGUCAGUUUCCCCAUCUAUAAAAUAUCUGUAAUAUCUACCUCACAAGACUGUUAUGAGAAUCAAAAGAAAUAAUAUAUGUAAUGAGCUUUGCAAAUAAUAUAGUGCUAUAUAAAUGUCAGUAAUUGCUAUUUUUAUUAUCAUUAUCUGAACUAAUUAUACAAUAUAUACAGGCUUUUAAAUGAAGGGGUCUCAAAUUGUCAGCUCUUUUGUCUUUUGUUAUUACAGUAAUUACAGAAGCAGUUUCUAUGUAUGUCAAUAUCCUUAUAUAAUCAUAGCAAUUAAUUUAGGCUAGUUUGACAAAUUCCCUUCAAUACAGGACUCUUUCUAGGCAUCAAUAAAGAAAUAAAAUUUAAAAUGUUUAUUUCCAUUAGACAAUAAAACCUUGUUUUUUUUUAUCAUGAAUCAUUUGGGGGGGGGAAAAAGAAAUUAUAUUACGUUACAGUAUUAGGAUCCAUUAGGAAAUGUCAAUAGUUUAAAAAAUACCUCUUGUCCAUUCUUCCUUUGCAUUAAUUGGGACACUGGCAUAUUCUCCCAUCUUCUGUGAGUCAUUUCCUCUGAUAAACGCCUAUAAAACUGUGUGUGUAAAUAAGCAAAUUUAAGAUCAUCAAUCUAUAGAAUCCUUCUAUGUCAUUACUUAAACUCUCUUCAUUUUGUUACAAUAUCUUAACACUACUCCAGUCUCUCUGCAUGGUGCUCUCAUAAACAAUUCUUUUCUGAGGGCACCAGCAGAAAGAACUAGCUGUUUAUACAAGCUGAACUAUUCUCAACAAAAAUGUCAUUAAGUUACAGAGCUCUUUCAAAUUACAUUUUAUUUGCUUACCAUGUAGUUUGUAUUAAAGUGAAUAUAAUGUCAGAAAUAAUGUAUAAACAUUUUUCAAAAAGGGAACUGGAAAAUAAUAUAUCUAGUUAAAAUCUGAAGGCAGGAAUCAGGAACCAAAGACUCCUAUCUUUGCAAAAAGGAGAUGGUGACUUUUAGCUACACUAAUGACUCCAAUCACUCUAUAAUCUUUACUUAGUAUCUACUGUGUACUAGAUGCUCUAAAAAGAUUUUUUUUAAAGGCAUGAAAAAAAUAGCUGGAGAAUUAAACCAUAAAUGCAAAAUGACUUGUAAAUACUUUUUAAAAAAGCAACAUACCAACAAUUAGACAUUAAUGUAGUAGAAAUUAAGUAUACCAAACACCAAGAGGGCAAAAUGUCAAGAAAUUAGGUCAUCAGAAUGGGGUGAGGUAAAGAGAAAUCAAGGAAGGCUUUGCAGAAGUGUGUUUUGGUGAAGUCUUUCAAGAAUAACUGCCUCUCCAAAAGUUAUGAACCAUGCUCUUAGAAAUCAGUUUGUCAAUGUGCUCUAGGUAUGUGUGUGUAUAUAUCUGUAUCUAUAUCUAUUUUUUAAUGUGUAUAUCUAUCUAGUCACAAAUGUAUGAGUAGUUGUCUAUAUUUACUUACAUUUACGGUUCUUUCAUCAAGCCAUUAUAAAGGUUUUCCACUCUAAUCUCUUCCACUAUCUUUACUUCCCCAAUUCCUCUGUACUUAACUACUUAUGUGUAGGCCUUUAAUAACUUUUCAUACUUUCUCCUAGUAAACAAAAGGCACAAUUGAAAGAAAUGAGCAGCCUGUAGCCUUCCAUAUAACUGUCACUGCAUCAUGCUUUCACCUUCAAACCUUAACCUGAUUAAGUCUAUUCUGUCAGGGAUCUGGUGAGAAUAAAUGACAUGCACUAGUAUCUAGUUCUGGUCUACCUUUUAUUCUCAACCCUCCAUAGCUGGUGAAGGGACAGUGGAAUAAGACAUCACCAUGGGAUGAUAUCUAACUAGCUGAUUCUCUGAACAUGCUUAGGACAGUGUGUAAUACACUAAAAAGAGUAAUGGAACUGGAGUGAGGAAAAACCGGUUCAAAUCUCAUCUCCAUCACAAAUCGCUGUUAUGUUGCUGUGUGAGCUACACAUUGUAUGUAACUGAAACAUGCAAUUGCAUGCCCAAGGCUCUCUCAAUCAGUUGUCAAUAAACAUUUGUUUAAGCACUUACUAGGUACCAGGCACUAUGCUAAGCAGUGGAGAUACAAGAAUGGCAAAAGACAGUCCCUGUUCUUGAAGAGUUCAUAAUCUAAGAAAUAACUAUAUACAAACUACAUACACAAUAAAUCAAAUUAAUCACCAAAGGGAAGGUACUGGAAUUAAGAGGGAUUAGGGAAAAGCUCCCUAUAGAAGGUAAGAUUUUAGCUAGGACUUAAAGGAAUCCAGGGAAGCUAAGAAGCAGAGAUGGGAAUGGAAGAAUAUUCCAAGCAUGGAGGACAGUUGGUGAAAAUGUCCUGAGUCAAGACAUGGAAUGUCUUAUUUGAGGAACAGCAAGGAGGUCAAUGUCACUGGAUCAAAAAGCAUGUUUUUGGAGGAGUUGAGAGGAUAUGUGUGUAAUGUGAAAUAAGAAUAAAAAAGUUGGGGUUAGGGAAGAGGUUAUAAAGUGUUUUGAACAACAAACAGAGGAUUUCAUAUUUUAUUUUGGAGGUAAUAGAGAGUUAUUGGAGUUUAUUGAGCAGGGGAGCUGACAUGGUUAGUCCUGUGCUUUAGGGAUAUCACAAUGAUAAAUGAGUGGAGUAUGGAAUGGAGUUGAGAGAUUCAUGUAGGAGGCUAGGUAGCACAGUGGAUUAAGUGCCAGUCCUGAAGUUGGGAGGACCUAGAUUCAAAUCUGAUUCUAGACACUUCCUACCCAUUUGAACCUGGAUAAUUCAUUUACUCCUUUUGCCUAGUCCUUGCCCUUUUGUCCUAUAAUCAUCACUAUGACAGGGGGUUUAAAAAAGAGAGACUCAAAGCAGUGCUACAAUUCCACACAGAAAAGAAUAAUGUGGUCCAAGUAAAAAAAAAUUCAAGAAAUUGUUAUGAUUAAAAUUGUCUGGAGACUGUAUCCUAGUUUAUAAUUAUAUAUCAAAUAACAAAAAGCAGGCCAGAAAAAGAAAAGGAAUAAGCCAUGUAUGGCCAGCUACCUUCCUUUCCAAAAUCCAGACCUAAGGGCAUACCUACUCACUCCAAUUUCAAGUGGAAAAGCCGCUAUUUCUUCUCUGAACUCAAAUUUAUGCUCUUCCUGAUGUCCCUUUCCCAAUGUCUUUGAUUGAAGCACUUGGACCUCACUCUUGAUAAGAGAUGGGUCUUCACAGAAGACAGACCUUUAGAAUGGCCAAACAACAGGCAUGUCCACUUUUCUCUGCCACACUAUUUUAAGAGGUUUGCUUACAGGUAAACAAAAAGUUUUGUCUCCACCCUUAUUCAGCAAAGGAGUGAGAAAAGCAUGUGGUAGCUUCAGUCUUAAGAUUAAACUUUUUUUUCCUUUAAAAUUCAAAGGUUAUCUUGGGGUGCCAAAAAGGGGGUAGAGGCUAAUGUUAAAAUUUCUACAAAGCACUAUUCUCAACCUUAAAAUUACAUACAAGGAUUGGCUAUUAUUAUUAUUAUUUGGUCUUUAUCACAAUUAGUUCUUCGCCCAUUACAAUACAGAGAAAUGUAGAAUUCUUUUUUUAAACCCUUGCCUUCCAUCUUAGAAUCAAUACUGUGUAUUGCUUCCAAGGCAGAAGAGUGGUAAGGGCUAGGCAAUGGGGGAUUAAGUGACUUGCCCAGGGUCACACAGCUAGGAAGUGACUGAGGACAGAAAUGAAACCAGGACCUCUUGUUUGUAGACCUGGCUUUCAAUCCACUGAGCCACCCAGCUAUCCCCUAUAUUUCUUAUUAUUAGCCUAUAAAACAAUAUUUUAAGAAAUAAAUUAAAAUAAUCAUGAGGGGGAAAUGCACACUGUAUGAUGUUAAUUUCUAAUAUGUACCAGGUAUUUGACAUUUAUACUUUUUUUUUUAAACCUUACCUUCCAUCUUAGAAUCAAUACUAUUUAUUGGUUCCAAGGCAGAAGAGUAAGGGCUAGGCAAUGGGGGUUAAGUGAUUUGCCCAGGGUCACACAGCUAGGAAAUGUCUGAGAUCACAUAUGAACCCAGGAUCUCCUGUCUUGGGGCCUGACUCUCAAUCCACUGAGCCACCUAGCUGUACCUAACAUGUAUACUUCUAAUCAAAUUGACAUCUACAUUAACUUACCUCAAUCUGGCCAUGCUCUUUGAAAGAAAGUUUAAUGUAGGAGCUCUUGCUGCUUUGGAAAGGGCCAGGCUCUUUGUUGGAAGAAGCUGGGUGAAGAUGAAUCACUAUUUUGGCACUAAAGAAAGAACAUCCAUUAAAUAUAACAUUGCCUUUAAUAAUAAUUUUGACUAAUAUUGAGUAUAUUUCAGAUCACAUCUUAUAAAAGUUCAAAAAAAGGAAACCCAGGAUAUGGUUAGUGCUAAAGAACAAAUAAGAAUGGCGUUCAAACCUAAACAUUUAUGGCAUAAGAAUCAAAAGAUUCUAAGAAAUUGGCUUUAUUAUGUAGAUUAAAUAAGACUUUUUUAGAAAAUAAAAUCAAAGUGAGAUUGCUAUACUUUAGGCAGUGCUCAUUCAGGGCUUUUCAUUAGUAAAAUCAUCCCUAGAAGUUAUAAAAUGACCUAUAACUUCUGCCAAAGCAUACUACCUUAGUUAAAUGAAAAUAAACUGGUUUCAUUAAUAGGACAUUAACUUAUCUGCAUAAAACCAGCCAGCCAACAUUUUUUGAAUACAUCCAAAACUAAUAUUUUACACUAUCACUUAUGGGAAAAUCCUACAUCAACAACAUGAUUUAGAAAGAUACCUCAGCAAAAACAACUCUGGAAACAUUAUUGCUCUCUGUUAUGAAAAAAGAUUACUAUAUUUGCUAUGCUUAAUUUACUUUAUCUACUUCCUCCCUCUUUUUCCUAACUGACUAUGGAUAGUCAAUGAGUCAAAAAACUGUUCCUAAUGAUUAGGAAAGAAAUCCAUACAUAUAUCUAGUUCACGGCCCUCAUAAUUCCUUUAUCCUCUAAUAAAGUCCUACUCCAAUGCUUAACACUGAGACACAGAGGAAUCCUGCGCUUUCAAACAUUAGGCCAACAGAGAACAAGCUCUGGCAAGUUCUACAAGCAAGCUGGGAAAAUGGCAAGUAAAACCUUUCCAAAGACUUUAUGUCUACUAACUCCCAACCUUAUAAAGCAUGGAAAACCAUAUUACCAAGAGGUGAUUAAAUUUUUGAGUCAGAGCAAUCCAUAAAAUGGUCUCCUAAGGCAUAGAGGUACUGUGAUUUUCAUUGGUGUAAAGAACACCCAAUGAAAAAAAUCAAGAGACUUUCUGAUGUACCGAAUUCUUUUUUAAAAGAGUAGUUUACUCAAAAUGGGUCAGUUGAGCAACUGCUUCUCUAUUGGAAAGGAUGAUUUGAUCAGAUCCUAUCCACACAAUUGCCCAUAAUAUUGUCUGAAUAAUACCAAGCAACUGAAUUUAUUGAGUAAACAUACUGUAAGCCUACUGGAGGUAUCAAACAUUUUAAUGGUACAGUGAAAACUAUGUAAAAUAUUUUGGCACUUAGAAACAUUGUGAUACUCAGCAAUUCACUUAAUCUCUACAAUCCUUGGUUUUCUCAUUUGUGAAAUAGAAAUGUAUUCCCUGUAACAAUGACCUUGCAUAGUUAUGUAAGGAUCAAAUGAGAUAACAUCUGCAAAGCCAACUGCAACAUUCAAAGCUCUAUGUGUUUCAAUUUAUGUUUGAUUGAUUCUUAAAUAACAGCUACAUGUUGAGCUCUGGGAAGAAAACUAAAAGAAAAAACUGGGCAAGAGUAAUUGUAGUCAUAAUUUGAAAUCAUUCAUCUUGCAAGGCACCAAAGCCACAGACAUAGAAAUCAUAGCUAGGUUGGCUCUGACUGGACAAAAGCAUUAUGCAGUCUCUAAAAAUGGGCUGUGCAAUCUGAAGAAGCUGUGAGAUGUGCCAAAGACCACAAAGAGAAGCAGAGGCAAGAAAACUAGACAACUUGAAUACAGUACCUAAAAGAACCACAAGUUUUGGAUUAAAAGAGAAUAGUUUUCUGGUGCUUAAAAUAGGGGAAUGAUUGAUUUUCCCUCCAUUUCACUGGAGAAAUCUGAAAACUAGACAAUCAUUUGACAGUAAAGAGAGACACAUACUACAUGAUUUGUAUUUCCCUGCAACAGAGUAACAUUACUCAAAGCACUCUUCACACACAAUUUUCUAUUAUUUCAUUAAGUGAGGACUGAAGUGAUAAGCAGCAAUCAUAAAAAGUUGAAAGUCUAGUAUGCUACCAUUCUACUAGGACUACUGGACACACUGGAGGCAGACUGCCCAACUGCCCAUACCUCCAAAGUUCACACCAGACAGAAGAGAAUUCAAGAAUUCUACAGAGGAACUAAACUCCAGUAGGCGAUUUCUUCCUCCUCAGAACCAUACAAAAGGUCACUGGAAUGGGGGCUGCAAAUAAAGUCCAUGUCAACACAGUGAAGCCUCCUAGCAUGACCAAAGUGGCAGAGACACAGCUCUGUGUUCAGAGGCAGCAAGAGUACAUGAUUCUUUUGAGAAAGUCUCAGGAAAAGGUUGUGGAUGCCCAGGGAGCCUAAAAGACAAGUUACAAAGCAGUGCUGCAGCACUCAAACCAAGAAAUCUCAGGACUCUGAGGUCCCAAAUGUUCUGACCUAAGAGAUCAGAGUGAGCCCUAUGAUUAGAUAAUAAUCUAAUGCUCGGAACCUCAGAGAUCCAGAGGUAGAUUAUGAAGGGCUUUAAAAGCCAAUUAGAAGAUUUUAUAUUUGAUCUUGAACAUAAUAGGAAACCACUGGAGCUUUGUGAAUGAGGCUUAGGGAGGGAGUUAAAUGGCCAGAUGUGGUUUACAGUAAGGGCAGAAAGUUGAACAAGGAAGGUUAUGGCCAUAGGUAUAAGAUGAUGGGGAUCUGCCACAGACCUUUGGAAGAGGAGAGAAGGAAACUAAGACAAAGGAUGAUGUGAAGGUAGAGUGGCAAUGAAGAGAACUUAGGUAACACUGGAAAAAAGAGUUUUAGCUGAAUACCAAGGUCAGAAGUCAGAAUGCAGACAGAAAGUAGAAGGGCUGGGAAGAUGAGGGAGAAAUGGGCAAUUUGUAGGCAAGAGUAGCAGAAAGAGACUGAAGAUGAGUGAGAAGGUGGUAUAAUAAUCUGCUGAGGGAGACAGGAUGCUAUCAUUUGUGCACACAGAGGGUUUUGCCUUGGCAUUUCUUUAUGUGCAUGAGAGUGGGGAAGACAUCUGAGAUGAGGGGCAGGAGAGAAGAGAGUUCAAAGCAAACAGGCUUCAAAUUUUUCAGGGAAGUAUGAGAUAAGGGUUUCAUCUGAGGGGGUAAGAGAAGUAAAGGAGUUUUGAGGAUGGAAAAGUCACUGAGAAUGGGAUGAUUAAUCCAUUGAGGAGGUUAAAAAGGAUACUUGCCUACAGUGAGGGUUCAGAAUAUAUAACAUAAAUUGGUAGUGGAUUCAAUCAAUAGUUUCUCCAAUUUCAUUCAGCAAUAUGUGAGCAGGAAUGAAGGUUAACAGAGGUCACAAUGAAGACAAAGAACAGAAUUAGAGGUUGUAAGACAAAGAGAAGGUUGAAAUGAUAAAAGAUUAUGAUCUGAUAAAAAGGAAUUUCAAAGUUCACAAACAUGCAAGUGGAAUGAAUACUUGUGGAAGAUGUCAAGAUAAAGGAUAUGAUCAGCUCUUUAUUUAAUUGAGGUGGAGUGGAUGAGGUAAGUAGGUCAUGGGAAAUAAGCCAACUGAAGAAUUUGGAAAUUAAGGUGUCCAUCAAUUUCAUGCUUUCAAAAACAAAAUCUAAACUUAUUAAUACUGGGCAUAUUUGGUCAUUUGAGUCAAUGAUGUCACUUAUAGCAGCCUAAAAAACAGAAAUUGAGAAGGAAAUAUUAUAAUCAGCUUCAAGGAGAAGAUAUUUUUUCCCUUAUAUACUUUUACAAGCUUUUAUAUACGUGUUAAGACAUCAUUUUAUGCCAAGCAGACAAGUAUAAUCUCAAUUUUACAGAUGAGGAAACUGAGACAGAUAGAGAUAUCUGAGGCUGAAUUUGCACACCAAUCUUCCUAACUCCAAGUCUAGCAGUCUAUCCAUUGGGCUAGCUAGUUGCAACUCAUUAUGACAUAAUAGGAAAUCAACCACCAAAGAGAAAAGUUUAAUAAAAACAUAUUAAACAAACAAGGAUCACAUGAAAUCUUACCUUUUUCCAAUACCAGCUGCUUGCUCUUCAAUGAAUACAAUUUGGGAAAGAGGAAUAGCAAUGCAACAUUCCUAUGGUAUAAUCAAAACAAAAGAAGAGAGUGUGAGAUUCAAUUUAUCUGGACACUUUGCUGUACAGCAUUCAGUACUCAGGGUCAAAUUAGCAUUUAUACAGCAUAUACUCUGGGCCACAUUGGGAGUAUUACCAAUUGUACUCUAAGCAGCAUGUGCCAUCCACCCUGAAGAGGGUCCUUUUGGGAGAGGGAGAGACCAACUCAAAACCAAAGCAGAAACCUGUCAUAUUCCCUUAGGUGAUGGCAGGGGAUGUUACCAGUCAUUCCUUAGUCAAAUUCAUUCAGACUCAAGACUAAUUUCAUGUUUACUUUUGACCAUAACAACAUGUAUAAUACCAUAUAUUGCACAAUGAGUACCACAUAUUGAAACUCUUUUUUGCAAUGUAUAUUAAAUCAAGAAUUUUUAAGAAAUGUAAAAAAAAAGACUAAUUUCAUCGAAUUUAUACAAAAAAGAAUCACAAAAACCCAAGUCCUUAACACAGAAAAAAGUAUGAAUAUAGAAAAGAAGCAAGAAAAUUUGAGGAUAGUGAAGAGGGAGUGAAGGGACCUGGGUUCUAUUUUAGUUCUACUAAUGUGUGACAAAGACAAUAAAACAAUCAGAUAACGAAACAAAGUAGUAACGAUUAAAUAGCAAGGUGAGAAGUAGAGUCAACAAGAGUCACUGAAGUUCAGAAGAAGGAGAAAUCAGUGAUUAAUAAAGCCUUUCUGCAAACUCCUUACAACUGCUUUGGUCCAUCUUUUUAAAAACAAUGCUCUGAUGCCACCUGGCUGUAAAUCUUGAAUACCAAACUUCUGGGAGAAUUAAAACGACAGAGGGUUUUAAAACAUCAUAUUUCUAAUAAUAUUCCCAAGAAGUAGAUUAUCUUAGAAGGGGGAGUGGGUCUAAUGAGCAUGAAGUGUUUUAACCUCUUCAGAAUUAGGGUAUUAUAUAAACAAAACUCAGAAUCAACCUGUCCAAAAGUCUUUUAAAAAUAGGAAUAUUUUGAAUCCUGCUGGAUUAAUUCAAACUUAUUUCAAGCUUAUAAAGUACUUUCCUUGUAAUUAUUCUGUUAGUUGGUAUUGCAAGUAUUAUUAUUCUCAUUUUACAAAUGAAGGAAUGGAGGGCCAAAAAAAGUGUGGCUUGUCUCUAUCAUCCAGCUAGUUAAGUGCCAAUCAGUCAAUCAAUAGACAAUGAUUCAGCACCUCCUCUUUACUAGACCCAGCACUAGACCUUGAAUUCACAGGAUAUUCCAAUCCCAAUAUCAGUACCCUCUACAGUUGGGGGAAGAAACGGUCAUUUCUCAAAGUCAUUACAAAGAAAGGCCUGAUUUUAUCUAGCUCAUCUUCUCCCAUGGAAAUGGGAGAAGAUAGGCAGUUUUGUUUUGUGCCCUCAGUAAUAGAGGGAAAACUAUUUUUCCUUCCACAUAUAUAGUAAUGCUGUAGCAUUACUGUUUAUAUAUUUAGAAGCAAUGCAGUUCCAAUAGAAUUAUGACAAUUGUGGAAAAUUGGAGAACUUCCAUGAUUCUUCCUAGUUUCUACAGAAUAUCCAACUAGGUCAGACUCAUGUGGAGUUAAAUGAAAGUAAGAGCAGAUAACAAAAUUCAGUGUCAGCUUCAUCCUAAUCCAGUUUCCUCAGGAAAGUAAUGUGUAACUUUUGUAAAUCCAAGAUUUAAACAAUUUUUGAGAUAAACUUCAGGAAAAGAAGCUUGCUAACUCCUCAGAUCAAGAAAGUGAACUGUUUGAAGAAAGUACCCUAAAGAAACCUACACUGCAUCAGAAGAUCCAGAAUGAACUUCAGGAUGUAAUUGAUUGAACUGAAGGGAGUUGAACACAUUUAUUCUGAAUGUAAACUCUUAUGCUAAAGGGGAUUGCCCCCUAAUUAGCUUUUCUCUUCUAUUUCCCUCUUAUCUCCAACUAUUGUAGUUUCCUCUUAGAAAGUGCAAUAUUGAACGCACCUUUAGCUAGAAGGUCUUUAGAGGUAUAAGCCAAUUAUGUUAAACAAUUCAUUGGGGAGACUAGUCUCCAAAAGAAUCACAGGGGGAACUGUGAAAAUAGGAUGCACUCUCCCCUUGUCUAUUUUUAGCUUAUCAAAUCAAGAACUUAAAGUAUUGCUACUUACCAUUAAGUAUGAGAAUUCAGAAGUCACUUACUAGAAUAAGUGACAACUCCAAAGGUCACUGACCCUCCUGCCCCACCUUGGGCAGUACUAGACAAAUUGAAAGACUGCCAUUGAUUUCUGUGAAGGGGGAGUGACAGGAAGUGACAGAAAGUGACAUGGAAAAAAGGGGUAUAAAAAGAGACCAACAUGGUCUAGCAUGCAUUCCUUUCCUGGCUUCUAGAGAGACUGAUUCCUUUCCUGACAUUUGGAGAGAUUGGUUUCUGAGAUUCCUGCUUUGGCCUUGGAGUAGGCUGCAUUGGUGGAACCUUAGCACCCUGGUUGAAGACACCACUGGGACUUCUGGCUUGGAGAGAUUCCUGCCUUGGUGGCUCCGUGAGUAGACCCUCUCUGCUCAUUGGCACUUCAGUGGGACACUCCCUUCAGUGUGAGUUUGGUGGAGAGACUCUUUCCUUGGAUCUUGUAUCAGCUUGCUGAUUAGUCGAUGUGUACUGAGAAGAAGGACCCCGGCAUCAAAUUUUAUCUAGAAAGAAGCAUUGGAUAAAAUUCACUGAUGGUAUUCAAAAUUCUCAUAUGCCUAAAUUACUCAAUAAUAUACUCAAAUACUUAACUGGAUCUGUCAUCUAAUCAAUUUAGGAGCCACCUAGCUGCCCCCUGUGGACAUUUUAAAAAGAGCUACAGGCAUAACUGAUAAUGUAGUAAGUGUUCCUUUGUUAUGUAAAGUAACUUAUUGCAAAAUGAUUCAAUAUAAAAUUUUUAAGGGCAGGUAGGUUGCUCAGUGGAUAAAGAGGCAAGCCUGGAGACAGAAAGUUCUGGAUUCAAAUCCAACCCCACUUUCUAAUCAUGUGACCCUUAGCAAGUCAUUUAACUUAAGUCAUAGACCUUACUGCCCUUCUGACUAAUCCUUGGUAUUGAUGCUAAAACAGAAGGUAAGGAUUAAAAAAAAAAAACUUAUUAAAAACCAACUGACUGCUAAAGUGGGUACUAAGUUCUAAAGUGCUAAAAUGGGUACUAAGACAAAAGAAGAAUCAGUUUACUCUCAAGGAGCUGCCAUUCUAUUGAUUACAUUCUAAGUCUAAUCAAAGAAAGUGAAAUUAAUUUUUAUAAAAAACACAUGUAAUUCAUCCAUAAUUCAUCUAUAAAUAAAUGUAGGUUUUAUAAAUAGUCAUUUCUUGACAUUCUUGGGUUUCACAUUCAUGUUUUCAUUAUUCUCCAUUGAAUGGCCACUGAUAAAUAGAUGAGAAUUUUUGGAGAUUUGCUAUGUACUUUAGAAUAUCACAGGUAUAUGUAAAGAAAACUAAAAAUAAAACUUAGUCAAUCAUAAAUGCAUAAAUACUGUGUUAUAUAUCUAGUUUAUCAUUUACUACCGUAAGUAGACCCACAUUAAUUUAUUAUAAGCAGUUAAAUUUUAUUAAGUUUCAUUGUACUAAAGGACUACUCUCUUUGGGAAUACCUUUUUGUCUCUCUACAAUAUAGACCCAGUUAGGUGAUAUUCUCCUGCAAUAAUCACUGUAUCUUGUGCUUGAUAUAAGUAAAUCCAUGAAGCAGUUGUUAAAGCUACAAAAGCUGCAGGAAAAGCUCUGUAUAGUGGUUAAGAUAUUAAUUUCUCCCAUAGAAAUGACAAAUUUUUAAUGGAUGUGAUGUGUUGUUUUGCUUUUGUUGUGUGUUAAGUAAAUAUGAUUGGAAUGAUUAAAAAUAAAAGUUUGGGAUAGGGCCUAGAGUUAUUCUCCAUUUUUCACAUUUGAGGGGGUACAGCAUCCCUAGCCAUUGUGAAUAUCAAGGGAUGACUAAUAUUUUCUUAGUGUAAGAUUAUAUUAGAAUGGGGUCACAUUUUUAUUUCUAAAUGAUAAAAUUAAUAAGAAGAAUAAAAUAAUGUCAUUGAUAUCAAUACAGAUAAUGAACCUUGAGUUUGUUCCCUGACUGGGCCAAAUUAUUCCUCAUGUAGCCCAAAUCUUCAGAACCUCAAAAGGCAGGAACUGUACAUGAAGUAAAUAUCUCCCACUUAAUUGUUAAUAGUAUUGAUAUAAAACUUCCUGGUGCAUUGUUAAGUUUGAUUUAAAAUGUCUUUAUUAGAAAAAACUCUGGACAGUACAUGUUCUUCAUCUAUUUUGUUUUUCCACUGUAGAUGGUCAAAACUUUGAGAGGACAAUUUUUGUAGACUAAUAGAAAUAAAAUCCAGAUUAAAAGAAAGGAAAAAAUAAUUUUAAAAGUAGCUGAAAUUUAUAUUGUGCUUUUAAAGUUUACAAAUACCAUUUCACUUGAACUUCCUAAAAACCCAAUGAGCUAGAUAAUAUAGUAUAACCCCGAAUUUAUAGAUUAUGAAGUUGGGCCAUGGAAAGGUAACAUUAUUUGCCUGUUCUCACACAAAUAAUUAGGAUAAUAAACGGGCUCUGAAUUCAGGUCCCUCCAGAUUCCAAAUCCAGCACUUGGGUGUGGUUGGGUUUUCCUCAGGAAUUUAGUAGUGAAAGGAGGAGAGAAAUGACACAAUAGCCAAAGAAGGUACAAAGGUCAUAAAAAAAGAGAUCUGAGCAUUUUUACAGGAAGAUAAGGAGAUAAUAGAGAAGCAAGAAUUGAAGACUGAGGAGAAAAGGGAUAGCUAUCAAUAUCUUGGGAGUGGUGAGGGAUGAAUAUCAAAGAUACAGGUAAGAGGGGUCAUUAACAACAUGUAAAGAUAAAGUGCUGCUAUUUUAAGUGACAGAAAUUAUAAUAGUUCCCAUUAAUGUUCAUAAGAGAUACUACACAUAUGCAUAUAAUAUGUAUGUCUGAAACUUUCAGAACAAUCUAGUUAAAAGUAUACCAGUUCUAAAAAAUAUUUUAAAAGUUACUUUUUAAAGGCACAGUCGAUGUGACAGAUAACUCAAUGUUACAUGGAAAAAGCCAAAGGCCUGGGAUCUAAACUUCAUAAAUAAUUUAGGUUUCCUUCUACUACAGGCUUUUAAGAGUUGGUCAAAUUCUAUUUUAAUUCCUUUGUUACUGAAUUACUCUCAUUAACUUUAAAACUAAAUGAGGAAACUGCAAGAAAAGUAAUUUAAUACAUGAACUCUAUCUAGUGGCCAUAAAAGGAACAUCAAGUGCUUCCCAGGCACUGUGCACAUACCCAAUAAUCUCCAGGUAAAAUAACUGGGUCUUCUAGAGUGGUCCAAUUGUAAAACCAGAGAAAGGCUGUAAUGCAGGAAACUCAGCUAUGCCAACAAUCACCCACAGUGACUAGAACAAGGCUAAGACGUCUAAGCUGACAAAUAUGAUGGAGUAUACCCCAAUAUGAUGGGGAGGAAGGGAGGGUCCUUGUGAAAAGGAUGGAAGGUGUAAAAAAUGGACUCGAACUCUGGACUUCAAUCCCCACAAGCCCUUGCUCCACUUCCCCAAAAUGCUUUGUAAUCUCAAGGAAUUCUGAGGUGGGCCGAGAUCGAGAAGGGAUUUAAGCUGAUUGCAAAGGCUUUUGGCUCUUUUUUUGGACUUCCAUUUUGGAGCAGACGCGUCUCUUCCAUGAUGUGAGGUUAUCCUGUCUAGGCCUCUGGCCUAGGCACGUGUUUUUUCUUACUUGUAUAUUCUUAAAUCCUUAAUCUUUAAUAAACCUCAUAAAAUAUAAUACUCCUUGCAGAGAGAAACUAAUUUCUACCUGCCUCAGUCUCCCCUAAAUUUUAAUCUUUACAAAGGUCAGUUAGAAGAAAAAGCCAAUAGUCCAACUUGACCAGGAGAGAGAGAAUGCGAGUGUGCACUUGUGUAUGGGGGUGUGAGAGGGAGGUGGAGAAUAAGGCUGGAAAAGUAGAUGGAAGGCUUUAAAAGCCAGGUUAAAGAUUUUGUAUUUUAUCCUAGAGUUGACAGUAUUCUUUUUUUUUAAACCUUACCUUCCAUCUUAGAAUCAAUACUGUGUAUUGGUUCCAAGGCAGAAGAGUAGUAAGGGCUAGGCAAUGAGGUUAAAUGACUUGUCCAGGGUCACACAGCUAGGAAGUGUCUGAGGUCAGAUUUUAAACCAGGGUCUCCCAUCUCUAGGCCUGGCUCUCAAUCUACUGAACCCCUUAGCUACAACCCCCCCUCCCUGCCGCCAGGGAUUUUUAAUAUACAUAUCUGAGGAUGUAAAAUAGCAUUUGAUUAAAGGAACUAAUAGAUAAAGUUUUUUUUCAAAGCUUAAGCCAUAAGAAGGAUGGAUUGAAGAGUUAAAGGAACAGUUAAGAGGGUUCUGCAAUCAGGAAAAAAGGACAUGGGCCUAUAAAUGUAAUGAAGGGGAUAUAUGUAAGGAAUGUUGUGGAGGCAUUCUUUUUAAAGAGUGGCAAAAUAUGCCUGUUGAUGACAUUAUUGGCACUUUAUUGGCUGUAAAAUGAGCUUGUCUGAAAAUAGAAAUUGUCAUUUUAAAUCCUGUCUAAAGACAAUCUUUUCUUUUUAAUGGUUUCACUAAUUUGGGCAAAAACAAUAAUGACUUUGCUUUUCUUACAUAUGAAGUAUAAGACAACUAAGAUAACCUAAAUAUGGUUGGUUUUGGUUUCUAUUAACACUGUAUAAUUUAAAAUUUCAAGUCUUUCAUCAUAAAAAAACUUAUUGCACUGACAGUUUUAAUUAUAAAAAUAAAAUACUUUAUUUCUUCUUCUUCAAAAAAAGAAUCUUGACAAACAAUUAGAUGUGGGGGUUAAGGAGAGUUGAGGCAUACAAUAUUUUGAGAACCUGAAGACUGAAAUGAUGGUAUGACAAUCAAAGAAAGAAAUGGGGGAGCUGGGAGAAGCUUGAGGUGAAAUAGGAAUUUCAUUUUAGACAUAAUAAAUUUGAGGUGCCAGACAGUAGAUACUAUCAGUUCCUAAGGAAUGAUGCUAGCACAUACUUGUUAACAUUAAAAAAAAGGUCUUGGUAAUAUAGGUCUGGAGUUCAGAAGAGAGGUGGUAGGUGAGCUGGAUAUUGGGGGAGUCAUCUGGAAUCCAUGGAAGUUGAUGAGGUCACCAAGACAAAGUAAAAAAGAAAUGAAUAAGCUGAGUUUAAGGAGAUAAUGAGAAAAUCAGAUAGAAAUAUUCCAGUUGCGGGUGUUUGAAGAUUUUGGUUUAGAGCUUAAGAGAAAUCCAGUUCUGUCACUGUUUACCUUUGAUAUUUCCUGAGAAAGUUUGUCAGUAAAACAAGAAUUUAUUAAUUACUUACUAUUUGCCAGGCACUAUGCUAAGUAUUUAGGAUAGAAAAAAAGGCCAAAACAGUCCUUGCCCUCAAGGAACUCACACUCAAGUUAACAGAGAGGUAACUUGUCCAGAUCAGAUGUCUAAAGAGUAGGUGAACAAGCAAAGGACAGAACCAGGAAAAGCCCCCUGCAAAAGGAAGAAUUUUAGCUAAUUCUUGAGAGAAGCCAGGGAAAUGAUGAAGGAGGAGAAUAGAAGAGAGGAGAACAUGCUAGGUCUGAGUACAGGCCAGGGUAAGGGCACAGAUGAGGGAUAAGAGCAUCUUGGGAGAGGAACAGCAGGUGGGCUAGGCUAAUUGGACUGGAGAGGGCAUGGAUGGGAAUAAAAUCUAGGCCCAGAAAGGGAGUAAAGACCACAUUAUGAAGAGAUUUUGCAUGUCACAUCCAGGACUUCAUAUUUGGCCCUGGAGGUAACAGGGAGCUCUUGGAGUUUACUGAGUAGGAAAGUAACAUGGGCCUAUGCCCAGCUUAGGAAAACCUCCUUGACAGCUAAGUGAAGGAUGGACUGGAAUAAGAUGGACUGGAAUAGGAAGGGUGAUGACAAAGUCUGGGUAAGAGGUGUUAAGGAAUUGAAAUAAUGUGGUGGCUGUGAGUGAAGAGAAGGGGAUAUAGACUUGAGAUGUUAUGGAGAACAGUUUGACAACAGAUUGCAAGUCAGGUGAGGAAAAGCAAGGAAUCAAGAAUGACCCUGAAAUUAUAAGCCUGGGUGACUGGGCAAAUGGUAGAGCCUCUAACAGUAUCAGGGAAGUUUUGAAGAAGGGAAGAUUGUGGGGGAGUGUAUGUGCAGGAAAUAACGAAUUCUGCUUUUGACAUGCUAGAUAUGUUGAGUCUGCGAUGUCUAUGAGACAUCCCUUUGUGAUGUCUAAAAGGCAGUUGGUAAUGCAGGACUAAAAAUCAAGAAAAAGACUAGGACUAGACUGAGAUCUGGAAAGUAUCUGCAUAGAGAUGAUAACUGACCAACGUGAGCUGAUGUGAUCUUCAAGUGAAAUAAUAUAGAAGAAAAGGAAGAAAGGAUCCAGGACGGAGGAUUGAGAGACACUCAUAAUUAAUGGGUAUGACAUGAAUGAAGAACCAUCCAAGGAGACAAAAGAGUAGCCAGAUAAACAAGGAGAGAACCAGGCAAAAGAGAGCAGUAUCAUGAAAAUCUAGACUGCAAAAAGUAUAAAAGAAAAGGUGCAACAGAGUCAAAUGCUACAGAAAGAUCAAGAUGAGGACUGAGAAAAGGCUAUUUGGAAAUCAUUGAUAAAAAGAGCAACUCCUUUGGAGUGGAAGGAAUCUGACAAAUGAAAAUGGUGAACACAAAAAUUUUUUCCUGAUAACUAGAAAUUGUGUACAUUUCCUCCUGGCUGAUCCACAAACAAGAUGCCCCUUCUUUUAGCUACUGGCAUUUUCUGACUAUCUCCUCUGCCUCAUCUCCACCUACUGCCUUCCGUGGCUUCCUUUAAGUCCCAACUAAAGCCUCAUCUUCUACAAGAAAUCGUUUUCAGCUCCUCUUAAUUAUACUGCCUUCCCUCUCUUAAUGAUUUCCUAUUUAUCCUGUAUGUUAGAUUGUUUUUCUUCAGAAAAUUUGGAUCCUAGUUUGUCUGGAGUUCUUUAUCUUAAUGUGCAAAUGUUUUACCAAGGUUUUGUUUUUUUUUUAGGAUAACUUUGAGACUAUAUAACUAACUAAACUUCUGUUUCUCUACAAUUCAUGCUCAGUUUUUUUUAUGCUAUGGGAAUGUUCUCAACUGUAAAAUGGGAAUAAUAGAAUCUACUUCACAGGGUUAUAAAAAUUAAAUAAUAUUUGUAAAGCAUCUUGCACAUAGUAGACAUUAAUAAAUGCUUGCUCCUCUCCCUUCUCGUGGUGUGGUAAAGAGCAUUAUAUUUAAAAUGAAACACAUCAGUUUAAAUUUCAGAUCUUAUACUCACUAGCUAUAUGCCUACAAGAUAAGUCACUUAAUCUUUCUCUGCCUCAUUUUUCUUAUCUGUAAAAUAAAAUGGGGAUAAUAUCCUACUUAGCAGUCAAUGGACAUUCAUUAAGCUUUCUAUAUACCAGACACUAUGCUAGGUACUGGGAAUACAAACAAACUAACAAAAAAUAGCCCUUGUCUUUAAGGUGCUCACAGUCUAACAAACAAAUAUAUAAAAACAAUCUACAUUACAGGAUAAAUAGGAAAUAAUGAACAGUUGUUGUUCAGUCAUGUACAACUCUGUGACCUCAUUUGGGAUUUUCUUGGGAAAGAUACUAGUGGUUUGCCAUUUCCUUCUUUAGCUCAUUUUACAAAGGAGGAACUUAAAAGCAAGCAGGGUUAAGUGACUUGCCCAGGGUCACAAAGCUGCCAAGUGUCUGAGGAAGGAUUUGAACUCAAGAAGAUGAGUCUUCCUAACUCUAGGCAUGGCACUGUGUCUACUGUGCCACCUAGUUUAUAUAACUAAGGGACUGGAAUUAAGAGGGAGUAGGAUUUAGUUGGGCUUUAAAGGAAGCCAGGGAAAGUAGUAAAUGGAGUUAAGGUGAGAAAGUAUUCCAGAGAAAAUGCCCAGAUUAAUGAGAUGGAGUAUCUUGUGGCUCAGCCAUGAGGCUGAUCAUCACUAGAUUAAAAAGUAUGUGGCAGAGACUCAUAAGACUCAUGCAAAGAGAUCUGUACAUCAUAAAUCACUAUAUGUAAGUGAACUACCACUAUUUCAUUGAAUUCCUUAGACAUUUUAUGAUCUAUUAAUAGUAAUUUUUCAAAUAGUCAUUUUCUUUUUCUUCUUAAAGAAGAAUACUCCCAGGGAUAAGAUAAAGAAGUUACAAUCUACUGAGUACAUGAACUUUAAAUAACACUGGGUCGGGUGGCUCCAUAAUGAUCCCUUGUUCACUCAAGAACAAAAGGGAGUGGAGAAGUUUAUUAUAUGAUUAUUGUAUAUGAAAUAAUGUUGUCACCAUUAUAACUAACAUUUUUAAAAGCAUGGCAGCACAAGUCCAUUAUAAAUAUUAUUUUAGCAGGGUGGAGGGGAAAUACUAAUAAUCAGUGGUGGCUGAAAACAGAACAUUACAGCUAAAAACCAUCUGCUUUGGUAUAUAAACCUGCCCCUUGGGGAGUAUUCUAAGUGUAGUGUAGUGCAGGGGCUAAUGAAUGUUGCUAAGCAUUCAAAGAGCAGAAAGAGCUCACUGAGCCUUUUUAAGUAUAAUAAUUAUUUGAUCUCACCUUUUUUUGAUUCAUGUAACUUUCUACUUUGUAUAAUAUUUUUGUAUAUGCUAUAUUUCUCCUUUUCUCCUCCUUCAUUAGAUUAUGAACUCCUUGGGAGUAGAAACUUUUAAAAAAUCUUUGUAUUUUGUGCAUAGUAGGCACUUAAAAGUCUGAAGUACUCGACUUGUUCCAGGAAAAGAAGGAAGGGGAGAGGUCACGAAAUUAGCUUUGGCUGAUGAGGUACAACUACCAUAAAUAUUAAGGUGUGUUAACACAAGUUUAAUUAACUGGAGGCAACAGGAAGGACUAGCAGCCAGGGACUCAGUGUCAUCCUUAAGGAAAUUGACUGACUUCACAUUUUGGCACUCAAGCCCAAGCAUCUCCACUUUUCUACUAGGGGGGGACAAGAGAGGGAAUCCUGUAGGGAAAAACAGAAAUUCAAAGGGGAAGGGAGCAAAGAAGAUCGAAGAAAGGAAAGAGGAGAAGAGGAGGGGAGGGGAGGAAGGAAAGGAAGGAGAAAGGGAAUUAAGGAA
This is a non-coding RNA of Monodelphis domestica (gray short-tailed opossum), 46984 nucleotides long. NCBI's taxonomy places the organism in Eukaryota, Metazoa, Chordata, Mammalia, Didelphimorphia, Didelphidae. The record is from RefSeq and is a predicted model, not a curated record.